This 74524-nucleotide long non-coding RNA is filed under the name Lathyrus oleraceus (garden pea). RNAcentral's name for it is "Pisum sativum (pea) long non-coding RNA (PSAT_LNC036423)". The record is from RNAcentral. Lineage: Eukaryota; Viridiplantae; Streptophyta; Magnoliopsida; Fabales; Fabaceae.
CACAAUGAGGACACAAAUUAGGCUUCCAUGCUCCAUUAAGUCUUUUUAAUCGUUCAAACAUGUAAAAUAAUGAUGAACUAGGGUGUCUCUGUGGGCCCUCUACAAUAUAUUUCAAUCCCAAGUCAUCUGAUGCUUGAAUCUUUACCACCACAGAAAAGCCAAUAUCCAAUUUUGGAUUGAAAACAUUUCCGUCAUCAACAGCUAAAUAGUGAAACACAGUGACCAUAUAGGGAUUUGGAUCACUUAUACUCUUUUUCUUAGACUCUAUAACAACAAGACUUCCCCUCCUUCCUUUACCAUAGAGAAUGUUUGUAUAUUCUUUUACUUCUCCACAUGCAUUGAUGGUGCUGUUAGAAUUAACACCUCGAGUUAAAAUGCAUACCUCUCCGCAAGCGGCCAUUUCAGGAACAGGUAUCUCAAGAUACCCCUUAUCAGUUUUUCUUAUUAUAAUUUCCAAAUCAACACUAGUGAUAUUGGAACCAUUGUCUGCAUCAUGGAGAGAUAAUGAUGCCUCUUUAUGACUUCUCUCAAAUUUGAGUUCACAUGUUGAUGACCUAUCUACGGUGUAUAACAUCUUGGUCACUUUGGGAACUUCAUCAUCACUAUCACUGGGAACUUCAUCAUCACUAUCACUGCAAUCACGUUUGUUCUCUGUAUAUGUCAUAAUCUGUGUAAUCGUUGAAGAGACUAGGACCGUUGGGAUUAUUUCCCAUGUCAAAUUAUAUUUUACCUACAACACAAAUUCGUUACAUAAGAAUUAAUACCGCAUAAAUGAUCAAGAGUUACAUGCAAUUGUAAAAGGAAUUGUAACAAGAUAGCACAAGAAGUAAUAAAACACCACUUGCAAGGAAGAAACAUUCUAGAUCUCACCUCUACAUAUAUAUUUUUCAUAAGAAUAGUUUACGUAAUAACAAAAAUGAACUUGAAAGUAGGAAACCUGAUUCGAAGUAGCUUCUAACUCUGCUCUUGUUGCUUUGCACUCUUAGGUGGUUAAUGUCGCAUAUGAAAAAACAGUAUAAAUACACAGAAAAAGAAUCCUUGCAAUUAAAAACGGUAUGAAAGAGAAUUAAGCAUUAUUCCAACUCAAAUUAUAAGACCGGCAUCUAAUUCCUGUUGAUCCUAUCUUCCAUACCACUAACGUUUUGAAUGCCCGCUGUCUCUUUCUUGAUUGAAAUUAUUGAGAUAAAUAACCGAAUCUUGGAUCGGAAUUGGGUUCAAAGUUAUUUUCCUUUUAUUAGAUUAUGCUCCACCUUAGACAAAAAUAAAUUCUCUGUAUAACAAGAUUUUGGUUUUGUUGACAUAUGUUGGCUCAAUUUGCAUGAGUUGAUUAAUUCGCAAAAAAUCCUCUAUCUAUCAUUCAUCUUGUAGAACUUGUAUUUAAUAAUAAUAAUAAUAAUAAUAAUAAUAAUAAUAAUAAUAAUAAUAAUAAUAAUAAUAAUAAUAAUAAUAAUAAUAAUAGGAUUUUUUUACCACAAUGCCCUUAAAUUGAAAGUAAAAUCCCAAUAUACCCCUUUCUGAAAAAAAAAAUCCAGAAUGCCCAGCUUUUGUCUUUGGAUUCGCCCAUUCAAAGGACGAGUGGGUGAAGGAUGAAUCUUGGCUGCAUAGACUCGCCCAUUGAUUGGACGAGUAGAUACGUGAAUUUUUGCCAUGCUUGAACUCGGGCAAUGGAUGGUCGAGUGAAUGCAGUGUUAAUUUUUUUAAAUAAAUUUAAUAAAGCUAAUGAAUUAAUAUUGUUUUGAAAUAAUAUGUUAUUCCAAUGACUUUCAAUGACCGAGUAAUUGUUUGUGUUUGUACUGUCUCGGCCAAUGAUUGACCGAAUAUUCAAGUAUUAAUUUUCUAUAAAUAGUAGGACUUGUAGAAAUGUAACUCAGAUCUCAAAAUGUUUAUUUUGGUAAGAAUGUCUGUUUGGGGUCUUGUAUUUUAUGGACAAGGUGAAAAAACCAGUGUUUGCCUCGAUCCGCAAUGGAAUUUCAGAACACUGAUUUUAGCCAUCCACAUUGGCUUCCAACAGUUGGGCGGGCGUCGUAUGAAGGUGAGGAAAAUAGAGUAUCGUUGUCCAUACAUAACGUUGACUGAUGCAAGCCCCGAUGGUACGUACAUGUAUUACCUGGAUCGUAUAGAAAAUGAUGAAGAUGUUCAGUGUAUAUUUUCGGCACAUAAUGGUGAAGUCAAUAGAGGGGUUGAAGGACCACUUGUGUUGGUUGUUGUUGUUGAUUAGUUUUUUAAUAACCUCUAAGAAUUUUAGUUGAUGUGAUUAUACUUUGUAACCAGAAGCCUUUGAUUGUCAAAUGUAUUUCAUAAUGUUUGUUUUCAGAAGACAUUAUUGAGACACAAUGGUUUAUAUAUAGUACAUGCAUAGUAGUUAAUAAUAAUAAAACAACAUAAUCAUCUGGAGGAUCCUGUAACAUUUGGACAUUUCCUACGCAUGUGUCCUAUUUCACGGUAAAUUCCACACCUUCUCUUUUCCUUCUCAACGUUGUCCAUCUCGGUUCUAAUCUGGGUGCUGUUUGGGCGCCCUUUCUUCCUCCUUCUCAUAGAGUCGUCGUGACAAAAAGUAAAUCCUUCAUAUUGUGGCCAAUUCUCCUCACGGGGAAGUCCUAAGAAACUCUCCUUAUAGACCUUGAAGACGUUAUGAAUUUUGAACACGUAUGGUAUGUGAAUGGAGUAGUCCUGGCGUAUACUCGAAUAUGUUGCGAUUACAUGGGAGCAAGGUAAGUGAAAUGCCUGAAAUUUCCCACAAUCGCAGUGUUGUUUCCCAAGAUCAACUUUGAAUGUACCGGUUGGUCGACCAUCAUUCUGAUUAAUCUUCUCUUGGACCAUGAAAUAGAAUCUCUCGCGAUCAAAUUGCAUGACGUUAUGCGUGUUAGCUUUCAUGGCUUCCUCAUCCAUCCCCUUGUUGUAGUUAUCAGUGAAAACCUGCCCAGAGGCUAACAUUUUUGUCCAUUGAUGGCCUCUUUUACCAAAUAGUGAUCCUAAUCGAUAGUACGUAGAUUUGACCAAUGCAGUGAUUGGAAGGUUUUGGGUCUCUUUGAGUAUUGAGUUCAUUGCUUCUGCCAGAUUAGUUAUUAUGUGACCCCAGUGUUGCCCUCCUUCAAAUUCCCUUGCCCACUUCUCCCGAUGGAUGUUGUCUAUCCAUGAUAAAGUGUCAUUGUUUGUUCUUCGAAUUUCCCCCCGACAGUAGUUAAAUUUCGCCUCUAUCAACGCAUAACCCAUGUUAACAACUAUUUUGCGCAGUUCUUGUCUUUAAUCUCACGCAUGAAGUUUUGCGCAAUGUGUCUAAUGCAAUAGACGUGUCAUGACGGGUGAUACUUCCAUCCAUUUUCUGGAUUGUUAUAUGAACUCUUUAUCGAUUCAUGCCUAUCUGAUAUUAGACACAAAUUUGCUUGGGGAGUAACGUGUAUUCUCAAAUUCUUAAGAAAGAAACUCCAAGCAUCCUUUGUCUCACUUUCAACCAAUGUGAACUCUAUUGGAAAAACGAUCUCGUUCCCAUCCUAUGCCACAGCCAUCAACAAAGUCCCCCUGUACUUUCCGUACAACCAUGUUCCAUCAACCUGCACAAUAGGUUUACAAUACACGAAACCACGUAUACAUGGUCGAAACGCCCCAAAAAGACGAUGAAAGAUCCUUUGGUCACCCAAGUGUGAUCCAUCAUUUGAAAUCACAAGUAAGGAUUGCAAUUCUAUAAUAGUACCCAGUAGAUAUGUUUUUAUUACCAGUAUCCACUGCGGUAGAUCGUUGUAAGAUGUCUCCCAAUUUCCAUACAGCGACUCAAUUGCCUUACACUUUGCAAUCCAUGCCUUUUUGUAGGAUAUGAUAUACCUGUAUUUUUCAGCAACAUGAGUGAUGAUCACCUUCACCUGAAGAGAAGCGUCGCGAUAUACAAGCUCCAUUAUGCUCUUACUAAUAAUUUAUGAACUAAGUUUUGUAUGGUCUUGUGACAUAGAAGUAGUUGUGCAUGUAUGAGGCCCACCAGACUUACCAACUCUCCACUUUGAGUUUCUCUUAUGCAAAGAAACCCUGCAUUUGAAAUUGCAUGUAGAAUUUCUACAUUUGAUGACAUAACGUAUAUUGUCAGAUUUAGUCAUAGAAUAAUUUAGACUACGUUUUAUAUGCCAUUGUUGCAACGCAGAACACGCACUUCCUUAUUUUCAAACUCGAUACCCUCCUCUAUUUCGUCAGCAUUGUGAGUUGGUAUGAAACUUCCAAAAAUGGAGAUUGAGCUCUUAUAUUUUACAUGUGAACAGGUGGGUUGUACAAACUUAUAUUUUGCAUGUGAACAGGUGGGUUGUACAAACUAAUCGGUUGAGCUCUUAGUGCAAUGGUCGGUGUGUCGGUGAUAUCUUCAUUGCUGUCGUCAUCGCUAACACCAAAUAGAUCUUCAAAUCGGACAUUUUCUUGAUCAUCCUCACUAUUGUCGCCUACCUCUUCAUUUGGUAUGAAAGGUUCAUUAUUUUUGAGUCGGUUCUUCGUCAAUGGUUUGACUCAUUCCAUACUGGUGUGACUGUAUGGAUUGCGUUGGAUAUGUUUCAAGAUUUUCAAGUAGACGAACAUAUAUCUCAAUGGUGGGUAACUGAGAAAAUGUUAUAUGACAUUGAAACAUCGACUUGACGUCUUCUUCAUUCUCAAUAGGUGUCAUUACGUAAAAGACGGUAUCAUCGUCUCCAUUAAUUAAUGGAUGGCGAUAACUAAUGUCUUCAACACAAUUUUGUAACUUUUUUCAAUUCGAUCUUUUAGAUGAUGGAAGUUAGAAUUGAUGUGGAUUUUGAAUAAAUGCACAUUUGUAUUGCUAAAUGAGAAUCCCUCAUUAACAUCUGUGAAAAUUGACCCGUUGGAAUGGAUAGACACGACUGAAUUUCUUUGAGCGAUGAAUGUAGGAGAUUUGGUUUGAUGACAAUGGAUAAAGAUAUGAAUGUAGGAGAUUUGGUUUGAUGACAAUGAAUACCAUUAAAGACCUAAUUUAUAGUCAAAAAACAAUUUCCAAGGAAACCAAACCCUAAAAACAAAAUUUAUAUUUUAAAAAUCAGUCAGAAGUAGCUCGUCCUUCAAUUUGACGAGAGAGAAAACGUGAAGACCUAGCUCGUCAAUUCGUUGGACGACUCAAAACCCUAGAAGACUAAGCUUGUCCUUUCGUUGGAUGAGUCAACACGAUGGUAGGCCUAGCUCGGCCAUCUAAUGGGUGAGUCUGAACGCAUGAAACUUUGGCAGUCCCAUGUCCAAUCAUCCAGAGAAUCCUUCUUGCAGGGAAUCCUUGCAAAGUCACACAGUAAAUGAAUUUUUGCAUGCAUGCACUCAUAAGUCCCAUCAACCUACACUAUUUUCACCAAUUGAUUUAAUAUUUUUCCACCACUAUAAAUUAACCUUUCAUCUACAACUCAUUUUCAUCAACUACCUUCAGUUUCUCACAUCAAAUAUUCAUUCUCUUCUAUUUCAUAUCUAUUUCACAAAUCCAAAAUGUCUUUGUUAUGGAUGGGCGAAUCACACUGUGGGACAACAACGAACAUUACCGAAUAUGUAAGUAUGCGUAUUCUUUACUUUUUUAUCAACUACCUUCAGUUUCUCACAUCAAAUAUUCAUUAUCAUUUUUAUAUGAAUUUCAGGAAGACACUAGGUUCCGGGUCCAUUCUCAUACUUACAUUCAACCAAGUGCGGUUAUAAUACCGUAUUUGAAACUAGUUGGUUUUGCAAAUGUAGCCAAGAUAGCAAGUUUAAAAGUAGACUUUAAACUAAUUGUUGCAUUGUUAGAGAGAUGGAGACCCGAGACACAUAUGUUUCAUUUAUCAACUAGUGAAUGUACUAUUACACUAGAGGAUGUGAGUAUGUUACUCGGUCUCCGAAUUAAUGGUAAAGUUGUUAAUGGCCCAACAAAUAUAACCAAUGAUGUUUACAUGGAGAAUUUGGGCGUCGAACCGACCGUUUCAAAUAAAAAUGGGGCUUCUGUCAAAAUUGUUUGGUUAGAAGCUCUAUUAGCACAGCUAAAAAAUAACUCUAACUCGACAGAGGAGGAAAAUAUUCUCCAUGCAAAAGUUUAUAUUUUACUAUUAGUUGCUACUUUUUUAAUGUCAGAUAAGAGUAACAAUUUAUUGCAUUCUUCUUGGUUACCUUUAGUAGGAGACCUAGAAAAAUGUAACACAUAUAGUUGGGGUUCUGCUUGUCUGGCAACACUAUAUAGACAUAUGUGAAAGGCAACCCAUAAAGGAGUGAAGAGCAUAAGAGGCUGUGUUAUAUUACUAAGUGUCUGGGCAUUCACACGCAUACCCUUGUUUUCCCUAGUUAGUAACGAGGUUCCAUCACAUCCAUAUGCAUUAAGGUACUGAUUUUCAUUGAAGUUCAAUUUAUAUUUCUCAAAAUUAAUUAUACGUCGCAUUAAGGUAUUUUUUUUCAUAUGCAAGAUGGUGCAAACGAGGUAUGCAUUACGGAAAUAAUCUUCGUCAUCAUCUACGGGGGUACCAUGUUGCAAUUGAACACAUGAAAGAAAACGAUGUAAGAAUGGUUAAUUAUAAUAUUCAACUUAUCUAAAUUUCUUUUAUACAUUCUAAUAGUUAUAUUUCUUUUAACAGUCUAUAUGGAGGUCGUACAUACAAUAUCCAAUGUCUGGUUAUAGUGACAACCGAGUCUGGAGUGCAACGACAUAUAUAGUAUGUUUUUUUAUCGUUGAGAUGCAUCAGACGGAUCAGAUCAAACUCCAAUUUGGAUUCGAACAACAAAUCCCGUCUCAGCCAAGAUGUCUAAGUGAACACCAUAAUAUGACUAUGGUCCAAGCUUGGGAUAAACAUUGGAAAUAUUUAAACAAAGAAGAGCUCAAAGAAUGGAAAAGGAGAAGGCAUUUGGUGUUACAAGGUAACUCGGUAAUUAAUGAAUCUAAGCCGGGUAGAGAAUACAUGAAUUGAUUUUUGUCAAUUCCUUUUACGCACAUUGCUCCAACACAAUUUUUGACUGAUCCCCGUCAACAUGUAGCUUCAUCAACCCAACAAACAACAUCACCCUUACACCAAGACAUUCCCCCCACAUACACAUCCCAAUUUGGGGCCCAACCAUCAUCAUCAGCUCAACAAACUUACCAACACACCCAGACCACCCAACAACACACCAUAUAUUCCACCUCAACCCAACACCAUAAUCCCCACACUUCAUUCCCUCAAACAAACUACUUUUACAACCAACAAUAUCAACAACAAACCAACCUACGCCCACCCAUACAAUACACUCCAAUUCCUCAACCCAACUUUGAUAAAUCAAACCCCCAUUCUCAAUCCCAAACAUUUAACACCAUAUUCGCACAACCCACUCCUACAUACAACCCUGAUGAUGUUUAUUAUCCUUCUAUCCAAUACACCCAACCCAACACCUACACACAACCCACACAUUCACUAUCCGACUUUGACCUCACCGAUGACCGUCUACUGAAUAUGCCUUCUUUCUCCAUUCAAGAACUCGACGAUAUGGAUAAGCCUCCAAACACAUCACAGCAACAUCAAAGUCAACAACAAGAUCAACAUGAAGAUCUGCCUUCCGACUCAUCUCUGUCUCCCGCAAGACAAAGACAAGAAGACUUGGGCAAGGGAAAAUGCAAAAAAGUUGGCACAAGAUGUGGAACAGGGCGGUCACUAUAAAUAAAAUGUAUUUCUUCCAUUAUAUCAAUAAAAUUAUUAUUACUCAUUACAAUUCAUUAUAUGCCUCAUUAUAAUAUUUAUAGUUUUAUUAUUAAAACAAUUUUUUAAUUUACAAAAAUAUUAUUAGUAUUUAAAAAAAAUCAUUUUUAUUAUUUAAAUAUAGAAAUAAUUAAAAAAUUAUUUAAUAAUAAUUUUAAUAAUGUAAUUAAAUUAUAAAAUUGUAUUUAAAAUAAAUAAAAUAAAAUAAAACGUCUCCUUCAUUAGCUCGAUCAACUAUUGGCCGAGUCUACCCAACAUGUCCAACGCUUCACCAACUCGUCCUUUGAACGGGGGAGUUCAAAGGCAAAAAUGGGGCAUUCUAAGAAUUUUUUUGAAAAAAAUGGUAUAUUGGGAUUUUAAUUUCAAUUUAAGAGCACUGGUAAAAAAAAGUCUAAUAACAGUGAGGUUACACUACUACAUAAAACACUUUUCACAUACCAUAAAAGUGACGUUUUGCAUCAGUUGUUUUUUUUAUGAGAAAAAAAUUGUAUUGACACCCAUUACAACAAAUUCUGUUUGAGCUCAGCAAACACAGUGAUGAACAACUAUCCACCUGCUCUAAAGUGUUGUAGAAAGCUCACAUAUGCUACAAAGAUAGACUAGACACUAUCUUGACAACAUAAUUACUGGUGAUUAGUAGAUAUAUAGCCGUAAACACACUAGAAUAGCUACAAAGAUAGACUAGACACUAUCUUGACAACAUAAUUACUGGUGAUUAGUAGAUAUAUAGCCGUAAACACACUAGAAUUUCACUUAGCCAUCUUUCCUACUAAAUGAUGAGUUCUCCAUUCAGCAUCAAAAUAUUAAAUUACCCAAUGAGAUUGCCAAAAAGAGGAUAAAAACCACCGCCAUUUAUGCUUAGUGCAACUCCAAUCAAUUUUCUCAUCUCUUAACCCCAAACAAGACAUCCAUUUCGAUCAUUCCAUAAAAUACCGGCGAACACACAAUCAUGUACGAUAUUACUAUAACAAAUAAUAUAUUUUCUCCUCAACCGACAAACAACCGAUGUGUGAAUUAUAGGCGCAUCACAUGUGAAAGAUGAAGAAAAGAAACCAUGAUCAAAUUAAUAUUCAGUUACUUACCACCUAAGCAAUAACAGUUAUAGCUGUUUUUCUGUUUUUUAUUAACUCAUAGAUUCAGCUCAUAAUGUGUAUAUAAGUGAAUGCAUCACUUUGUAAAGUUAAGAUUGUGAGUAAUAAAGAUUUCUGCAUUUUCCUGCAUUCUCUUUCUUCAAGCUUGUUUUCUUCAACAUUGGUGAAUCACCAUUAGUUUUCACAUGGUAUCAAGAGCAAAUUUGGUAUCCCUCACUAGCUUACUCCAUUGGCUCACAAGUCUCGUCUUAUCCUUCAAACGUUCACUUUUUUCGUUGAACAUUCUGGAAUCUCCACCAAGAUUCAUUCACUCAUGGCUGCAGAAAGCUUAGCUAGUAGCAUCAAUGACGCUCCCCAAGUUCAUCAUCAAGUAAAAGGUUACCAUACUGAUAUUCUCAAUGCAUAUUUCAUGCAUCCAAAUGAGAAUCAUGGUAACGUUCUUGCUACUUCUCUCUUAUCUGGCCUCAAUUAUCAUUUUUGGUCAUGGGUUGUGACAGUUGCUCUUAGAUCCGAGCAUAAAUUGCACUUCAUCAAUGGUGCAUUACCUCGUCCUUCUGAUGAUGAUGACAAAUACUCCAUUGCAUGGGGUCGUUGUAGUACCAUGAUUAUAUCAUGGACCAUUAACUAUGUCGAGCCCGAGAUUUCACAAAUCAUACUAUGGAUGGACACAACUCCAGAAAUUGGAAAGAGCUCAAAGAUCGAUUCUAUCAAGGUGAUGUAUUUCGAAUCUCUGAUCUUCAAGAAGAAAUUUACACUUUGAAACAAGGUGAAUGCAAUGUAUCUACAUACUAUACCAAGAUGAAAAAGCUAUGGCAAGAGUUGGAUAAUUUUUGUCUGAUCCCUAACAAUAGUUGCAAUGAUGACUGCAAAGCGCUUGAGAAAAUACUCAUAAUAAUUGUCACAUUGAUGGUGAUGAAGAGGAUGCAAAAUCCAUAGCUUAUGCAUAGGACAAUAGUGAAUCAGAAAAAGGGAACUUGUAUUUUACUCUAGAACAACACAAAGCUUUGCUAGCUCUUCUACAAAAAUCUAGCAAAGGGAACUUGUAUUUUACUCUAGAACAACACAAAGCUUUGCUAGCUCUUCUACAAAAAUCUAGCAGCAUGCAGUCUCAUAGUGUGAACUAAGUCACCACCAAAACCUAUGAUAAUGUAGGUAUUAUCUGUGCCACUCCCUCAUUACCCGAUUCACAUAAUACUUUCAUCCUAGAUACAUGAGCAACAACAUAUCAUACUUGUCACUCCAAUUACACUUUUCAGUGCAUGAAGAGAAUUAAACCAAUUACACUUUAGUAUCUGCAAAUCUAGCUGGUACUAUCAUGUUUGGCAUAAAUUUUUACAUCACCAAUGUUCUUUACUUUACCAACUUUCCUUUCAAUCUAAUAUCUGCUCCAAAAAUCACACUAAGUCUUAACUGUUUUCUAACUUUUUAUGGUAAUAAAUGUUUGAUACAGGACUCUUCAUCCAAGAAGAUGAUUGGUGUAGUUGAAAUGAAUCAUGACUUGAUGUGCUCACACAUCCUUUGGCCAGUUUUAUAACAUCACCCUCUGAACAUUGUAUGAAGCCCUCAUGUAAAACCAUUAAUUCUCUAUAUAAGUGUGAUAGAAGUAUUGAUUUUAAUUUGUGGCCCAUGAGAUUUGGCCACCAAUCUUUUGAAAAAUUGACUGAUAUUAAUAAAAUACUUCCUUUUGUUAAAAUUUCAAAAUCAUCUUAACCUUAUGAUAUUUGUUUCUAUACCAAAUAAAAGAUGUUUCCCUUUUCCCUUAGUUCAAGUGUGUCUAUCAAUAGUUUUGAUCUAGUCCAUAUGGAUAUUUGGGAUCCAUUGUCCAUUCCUUCUUUAUCUGGAUUCAAAUAUUUUAUGACUGUUGUGGAUGACAAGAGUUGGUUCACUUGGAUAUAUUUGAUGAAGGAGUUUGAGACAGUUAAAAAUUACUAUUUUAAAGUUAAAGAAAUAAUUAAUCAAAUGAGAGUUGUUGGGAAGAAUAUUGGUGACAAGAAAGUUUUAGAGAAAAUUCUAAUUACUAUGCCCCCAAAGUUUGACCCAAUCGUGACAACGACUGAGAAAAUCAAAGAUCUCUCCACUUUAUCAGUGACAAAACUAGUGGGCUCUUUUGAAGCAUAUGAGCAAAUAUUGCAUAGGCAUAAAGAAGAUACACUUGAAAAUUCCUUACAGUCAAACCUCGAGUUUGAAUCCCAAAAUAAAGAAAAUAGAGGAAAGAAAAAUUAUGGAGAAACUUCCAGAAGAAGAGAAGUUUCUAGAAAUUUACUUACGAAUAAGUCACAUAAAAACACUUCAUGCAACAUAUGCAAAAGACUAGGUCACGCAGAGGAAAAUCGUUGGUACCAUAAUAUGCAAAAUAUGCCACGUCUUCAUCUCCAUGCAACCAUUGUCUUCGAUAAGCUCCCACAUGCCAUCAAAUAACUGUCUGAUCUUAUCCACUUACACCUCAUUCGACAAAUUGAAAAAUAUUUUGGGUACUUUGAAUUUUACUAUGUCCCAAAACUAAUAAAGUCCCUAAUCUCUGACUGAUUGCAAUUCGACCAAAGUUGAUACUACUUCUCGACAAAUUAAAUUCGUAUUGAUAUCCAUGGUCGUAACUGGCCACUUCAAUUUUUGACAAUAAACUCCUUAUCACAUGAAACUUAUCAUAUUUUUAUAAUUAAUGCUCGAAAAUGUGAAGUAACAUCGUCACAUUUUAAUUUUCUUAAAAUAUCAUAUAUACCCUCAGUUGAUUUGAAAACCGAGGGGUAAAGUAGCGUAUUUUUUAAUAAAUUAUUUAUGACCAAUUUGAUGGGAAAAAAAUCAAAUAAUGAAUCUUUAUCGUUCAUUUAUAAAGUAACAAUGGUCAAGACAUUGUCAAAUCAUCAAUCCACAUGAAACAUUAGUAAUAUGCGUGAAACUCUCACUAGCCAAUUAAAACGUGAAUGCCACAACUAUCCAUCUUGGAUGCAAAGUGUAACACCCACAUAUAAUAUAUAUUUAGAAUACAUAUUAUACAUAAUGUAAAACUGGUACUGAAAUACAUAAGUGCCUAGCGACACAGUGUACAUAUACAAAUACAUGCCCAAAAUAACACUACUGAUCUAGAUCAUUAGACAAUGAUCUCAAAAAUAUCUACACAGCGGAAGAAAAGCCACCAGUCCUCAGGUAAGCAAGACAUCGCUCUAUCUUGCCCUUACCCUUAUCCUGCUCAGAACCACCUGAAAAAUAAUCAACAACAUGGGGUGAGAUAAUAAUCUCAGUGGGUUCCCUAUCUUAUGGGCCCACUCGGCUCUACAAGGUUUCCUAAUCAAUAUUCAACUCAUAUCCAACUCAAGUCAACAAGGGAACGAAGACUUGAGCGAUGGGGAAACUCUCUCGCAAUUGUAUGGCAACAUGCAUUUGAGUUCUCGCAACUCAAACCAGAUCAUUAUUCAGGUCACGACACAUCAAUUCCCGAACGAACUUACGUCUAAGCCAGACCCGGUUCAUGCAUGCUCGUAUGAUUCGACUUUCGCGGUGGAUAUCCGAUUCCCCUAUAGGACUUUAACCCACUAUUGAGAACCAUCACUCGUAUGGGACUUUACCCACUUUGAGUCUCUUUCACCGUAUGGGCCUUAUCCCAUUUUGGUGUCCACCUUUCCCCCAUGUCCGCCAUGGUUAGGGCUCAAACCCAAUUGAGGCUCGAAUCAUUGGUCCCACAUCCCAAUGCUUACACGUCUAAGCAUACCAAUAUAGAUGUGUACCACCACAGAAAACAUACGUUCUGAACACAUGAUCGGUUCUACAAUCAUCGGUUCCAUGAACCAUAACAUAAAUCAUCAAUCAUAGGUGACUUCAUUCACCACAAUACACAACAAUAACAUGACAUGUUCCAUACAAUGCGUCUCGUUCUCAAUCAAGGCAAUAAUUCGUCCAUGACCUCCACAUAAGCGUCGUACGAAUGAAUACCGUAUUCUCGCAUUAUCUAGAUUAUAAACCUCACUCAUGACCUAAUUUCAAUCCUAGGUUAACUCACUAGAUUCAUCAUGUAAUUUUCACCAUUAACAUGUAUUCAACAUAAACAUAGCAUCACAAUUGAUUAAUGGAUGGAAGAAUGCAUUUAGAAACACUUAGGAAAUGGAUUUUGAUGUUUUUAACUUGAGUCAAUCGAUUGGUUGGGGAAGCCCAAUCGAUUGGUUCCACUAACGUUUCUGUUUUUCAAAAUUUGCUGAGUGUCAAUCGAUUGAUCCUGAGUGUCAAUCGAUUGAUCCUGCUGAAAAUUUCCAUUGUUCAUAUACAACAAGUUUGUGCAAUCGAUUGACAUGCAGUGUCAAUCGAUUGGUCCUGUAAAAAUUUCAUUUUUCUGCUAAACCAAAGGCUGUCAAUCGAUUGAUAACAGGGGCCAAUCGAUUGGUUCACUCAUAUUUUCAUUUUUCCACUUCUCAGAACACCAUUUUCCUCUUUAACUCCAUUUUCAAUCAAACCCACACUCCUUCAUCCAACAAAUCCAUCUCACUACAUGCUCAUAUACACAUGUACAACAAGAAUCCCAAGUUCAUAACUAAAAGGAUUUCAACAUCAUAACAUAACCAUAACAAAUCAUAUUAUCAUACCAAUCAUAAAAACACAUCAAGGCACAUGUUCAUGGAGAUCAACAAGAGCAAGAACAUAUUCAUCUUAUAGCAUGGAUUUUCAUGAUUUGUCUAACAUUCUACAAUCCUAACUUUUCUAGAAACCUAAAGUUUCUAACUAGAACCCACCUCAAGAAAUUGAAGAGGAGAAGUUGUGGAAGAUGAAAUGAGGAUGAAGAUGAUGGUGUUGGUUCCAAGUUUUUUCCUUCUUCUUCUUCUUCUCCACUAGCCUUGCUUUUCCUUNCAAAAAUAUACUUGUUGAUAAUUUUUUAUAUUUUGAUUUUUCUGCCGUCCUACACUCAUAUGUGAGAAAUCAAUAAUUUUAUUCUUUAUCAUACUUUUAUUGUUUGUUUUAAUAUGAAUAAUGUAAUAGUGAUGUUAAUCAAUAAGAUUGAAAAGUGUUCAUGUUCUAUCACUAUUUCAAUAUCAAAAGAUAGUGACAAACCUUUGAAAUUUGUGUAAUACUAAUUUGACAUAAAGACAUUUGUUUUCAUUUUAUUGCUUAUGAUUUCCAAAAUAAAAAUAUUUAUAGUUUUUGGAUUCUCUUUUUAUUUUAUAAAAUUGACAAAUAUACUUAGUUUAAGAUGUUGUUUGUUGUCAGAUUAUUUUAUUCAAUGCUGUGUGAAAUUAUAUGAAAAAUAUUCAGAGUUAUUUUUCUUUUUUUUUUUAUAAUUCAAAAAUAUUUCAAGAAAUAAUAAUGUUGUAUAAGAUUUAAGCAUAUAUAUUCUCAAUUAAAAAUAGUUGUUAUGUUAUAUGUUUGGCUUUUGCAAGGUUCGAACUCAUGACCAACAAAAGAUGUUAUUUGCCUUUUGAAAAAGGUGAUUUCUAAUUGCUAAGUAUGUCUGGUCAACUAAUUGUAUGAUGCUUAAUAUUGAGUAUCGCGUGAAUACUCAUAUAUGCCGCUUUAGAUUUAAUAUAUAUGUGGACUUUAGCUGGAAGAGAGCGUUGAACGCAUUCAGGAAGGAGUCUUCAAGGAAGCGGAUAAUGCUUGUGUCAAUUAACUUUAUCUAUAGAAGAUCAUUUGAACGUAUUGUAGAUGAGGAGUUAUUGAGCGUUAAACAUUACGUAUUCUAAGUUAGAAGAAUAUUAAUCAAAUGAGGUGUUGGGAGAAUAUUCAUGACAGAGAAUUUUUAGAGAAAUUCUAUCAUCCCCCAAGUUUGACCUUCGUGCAACGAUUGGGAUCAAGAUCUCAUUUAUCAGUGACCAAACUGUGGGUCUCUUUGAGCAUAUUAGCAAAUUUGCAUAGGCCUAAAAGUUAUCACUUGAUAAUUCCUUACAGUCAAACCUUUGUUGAUACCAAAUAAGAAUAGAGAAGAAUUAUGAGAACAUCCAGAGAAGAGAGUUUCUAAUUCUAGAAUGUCGUAAACCUUUAUGCAAUAUAUGCAAGACUAGGCCACGCAGAGGAUUGUUGUCCGUGAUAUCAUAUAUGCCACGAUCUUCAUCUCCAUGCCAGUCUCGUUUCGAUAAGCUCCACAUGCCAUCAAUAACUGUCGUCUUAUCCCUUACCUAUUCGACAAUUGGAAUAUUUUGGGUACUUUGAAUUUCUAUGUCCAAAACUAAUAAAGUCCUAACUCUUGACUGAUUGCAAUUCGAACAAUGUUCUACUCUUCUCGGACAAAUUAAUUCGUAUUGUCUCAUGGGCGUAACUGGCCACUUCAAUUGUGACAAUAAACUCCUUAUCAAAGAAACUUUUAUUUUUAUAUUAAUGCUCGAAAUGUGAAGUACAUCCUUACUUUAUUUUUUUAAACUUAUCUUCCCUUAUUGACUGGAAGACGGGUUAAAGUACUAUUUUUUAAUAAAUUUUUAUGACCAAUUUGAUGGGAAAAUCAAAUAGAAUCUUUAUAUUCAUUUAUAAAGUACAUGGUCAAGACUUGUCAAAUCAUCAAUCCAUGACAUUAGUAGAUAUGCGUUGAAACUUAUGGCCCCCCCCCUCUAUUUAAUGUGACUGCCACCCUAUCCUCUGAACAAGUGCCUGAAUUUCAACUUAAGAUGUUGAAAUUAUGAUAUGAUGAUAAUGAAAGCAUGAGUAUAAAAAUAUUUCAAGGUUGGUUUCUUAAUGUAAUCUUUUCUCGAGUAAUUCCUUGUUAAAAAUGUUUAAUGUUAGUUAAGAAAGCAUGAAAUGAACUUACUAAUCUCAAUUGUAGUUAUAACAAGUAAAAUGUUUAAUAUUGUUGGUGUUGAAAUUUAGUAGUUAACGAUUCUAAAAUGUUUAAUAUUGUUGAUGUUGUUGAAAUUUAGUAGUUAACGAUUCUAUUGAUUUUGUUUAUUUGUUGUUUUUUGUUGUUGUUGUUUUUUGUUUUGUUGUUGUUUUUGAGAUUUAAUGUUUAAAUAUUCCACGAACUUUGUUGUUGUUGUUGAGAUUUAAUAUUUAAAAAUUCAAUUGAUGUGUUUGUUGUUGUUAUUGGUGUUAAUGUUGUUGAUGAUGAGGAAGAUUUAGAAUUUUCCAACAAAUUUGAUGCUUUGCAGAUUAAAACGAAAAAAAAUCAAUUUAAAACUAAAAUUUUGUAAACAGGACUUUACCCCUCGGUUAUUGUUAAAAGUCGAGGUAAAAAGUAGCAUUGUUUUAAAAAUCCAAAAAAUGUAGUUGUAAUGAAUCGAACUUGUUACCAGUGCCACUUUUCCCUUUGGUUAUUAAAAAACUGAUGGAUAAAGUGACAUUUUUUCAUGUCGCUUUUUGUUACCUCAUAUGUGUAGCCGAGGUUAUAUAACCUUCGCGACCGAGAUGAAUGUGGUUAUUUGUAGUAGGGAUGUGUCAGAGAGUACUAAUUUUUUCCUUCUAUUGGCACAGUUUUAACAUGUAGCCCAUAAUAAAUCGUAGCUCAAAUUUGAGAAUAAACUAGAUAAGAACCCGCACGAUGCGCGGUUGUAAAUUAAUUUUUAUUUGAUUAAUAUUGAAUUUAAAUUAUAUUAUUUUUAAAAAAAAAUAUAUGGUUGAAGAUUUAUAUUAUAACAUCUUAUUAUGAAUUAUAAUAUAGAAAACAAUACAAAUUAAUCAAUAAUAAAAAUGAAUAUUUUACUUGAAAGAAAAAAUAUAUGUUUGUAAUUUGAUUCUUAUAUCUAGAAUUUAGUUUUUGCAAAUUUUAAUAAUUCUAAAAGAUACUACUUGUGAUCAUUUUUUAUAUUUUGAUUCUCAUUUCUCUCAGACACUCAUAUGUGAGAAAUCAAUAAUGUUAUUCCAAAAUAAUCUAACAACCCAUUUUCAGUAAUUGCGAAAGAUGUGGUUAAAGAGUUAUAUUAUAAUAUCUUAUUAUGAAUUAUAAUAUAGACAACAAUAUGAAUUAAUCAACAACAAAAAUGAACAUUUUACUUGAAAGAAAAAUAUAUGUUUGUAAGGUGACAGUGAUAUCUAGAAUUUAGUUUUUGCAAAUUUUAAUAACUCUAAAAAAUAAUACUUAUGAUAAUUUUUUAUAUUUUGAUUUUCAUGCCUGUCUAACACUCAUAUGUGAGAAAUCAAUAAUUUUAUUCUUUAUCAAUACUUUAUUUGUUUGUUUUAAUAUGAAUAAUGUAAUAGUGAUGUUUAUCAAUAAGAUUGAAAAGUGUUACAUGUUCUAUCAUAUUUCAAUAUCAAUAAAUAGUGACAAACCUUUGAAAUUUGUGUAAUACCUAAUUUGACAUUAAAGACAUUUGUUUUAACUUUUAUUUGCUAUGAUUUCAACAAAAUCAAAAAUAUUUAAUAGUUUUUGGAUUCUCUUUUAUUUUUAAAAUUUGAGCAAAUAUACUUAGUUGAAGUAAUACAACCGAACAGUCUAAUAAAAUAAGUUUUACUCACACUUUAAUAUUUGAAAAAAUAUAUCAGAGUUAUUUUUCUCUUCUUUUUUUAUAAUUCAAAAAUUAUUUCAAGAAAAAUAAUAAUGUUGUAUAAGAUUUAAGCAAAUAAUAUAUAUCUCAAUUAAAAAAUAGUUGUUAUGUUAAUAUGUUGUUGCUUUUGCCAAGGUUCGAACUCAUGACCACAACAAAAGAUGUACUUUGACCUUUUGAAAAAGGUGAAUUUCUAAGUUGCCACAUAAGAAUGAUGAUGACGUGUAAAAUAUUGAGUAUGUGGCAUAUGAUUUGUCGUGAUAUAACUUGCCGCUUUAGAUUUAAUAUAUUAUGUGAGCUAAGACUGGCAAAGAAGCGUUGAACGCAUUGCAGAAGGAGUUUCAAGGAAGCGAUAAGGUGUGUGUCAUUAAACUUCAAUCUAUAAGAAGACAUUUUGAACUAUUGUAGAUGAAGGAGUUUGAGCCAGUUAAAAAUUACUAUUCUAAAGUUAAAGAAAUAAAUAAUCAAAUGAGAGUGUUGGGAAGAAUAUUCAUGACAAGAAUUUUUUUGAGAAAAUUCUAAUUACUAUGCCCCCAAAGUUUGACCCUCUCGUGGAAACGAUUGAGGAAAUCAAAGAUCUCUCCACUUUAUCAGUGACAAAACUAGUGGGCUCUUUUGAAGCAUAUGAGCAAAUAUUGCAUAGGCAUAAAGAAGAUACACUUGAAAAUUCCUUACUUUGAAUACCAAAAAUAAAGAAAAUAGAGGAAAGAAAAAUUAUGGAGAAACAUCCGAAUUUCUAGAAAUUUACAUGCGAAUAAGCCAGAUAAAAACACUUCAUGUAAUAUAUGCAAAAGACUAGGCCACGCAGAGGAAAAUUGUUGGUACCGUAAUAUGCAAAAUAUGCCACAUCUUCAUCUCCACGCAACCAUCAUUUUCGAUAAGCUCCCACAUGCCAUCAAAUAACAGUCUGAUCUUAUCCACUUACACUUCAUUCGACAACUUCGAAAAUAUUUUGGGCACUUUGAAUUUCACUAAGUCCCAAAAAUAAUAAACUCCCUAGUCUCUGACUGAUUGCAAUUCGACCAAAGUUGAUACUACUUCUCGACAAACUAAACUCGUAUUGAUCUCCAUGGUCGUAACUGGCCACUUAAAUUUUUGACAAUAAACUCCUUAUCACAUGAAACUUAUCAUAUUUUCAUAAUUAAUGCUCGAAAAUGUGAGGUAACAACAUCACAUUUUAAUUUUUUUAAAAUAUCAUAUAUUCCCUCAGUUGAGCAGUAAACCGAGGGGUAAAGUAGCGUAUUUUUUAAUAAAUUAUUUAUGACCAAUUUGAUGGAAAAAAAAAUCAAAUAACGAAUCUUUAUCGUUCAUUUAUAAAAUAACAAUGGUCAAGACAUUGUCAAAUCAUCAAUCCACAUGAAACAUUAGUGAUAUGCGUGAAACUCUCACUAGCCAAUUAAAACGUGAAUGCCACAACUAUCUAUCUUGGAUGCAGUUGAAUUAACGUAAGAUGUUGAAUUAAUGUAUGAAGCAUGAGUAUAAAAAUAUUUCAAGGUUGGUUUCUUAAUGUAAUCUUUUCUCGAGUAAUUCCUUGUUAAAAAUGUUUAAUGUUAGUUAAGAAAGCAUGAAAUGAACUUACUAAUCUUAGUUGUAGUUGUAACAAGUAAAAUGUUUAAUAUUGUUGGUGUUGUUGUUGAAAUUUAGUAGUUAACGAUUCUAAAAUGUUUAAUAUUGUUGUUGUUGUUGUUGUUGAAAUUUAGUAGUUAACGAUUCUAUUGAUUUUGUUUAUUUGUUGUUGUUUUUUUUGUUGUUUUUUGAGAUUUAAUGUUUAAAUAUUCCACGAACUUUGUUGUUGUUGUUGUUUUUGUUGUUGAGAUUUAAUAUUUAAAAAUUCUAUUGAUUUUGUGUUUGUUGUUGUUAUUGGUUUUAAAGUUGUUGAUAAUGAGGAAGAUUUAGAAUUUGCCAACAAAUUUGAUGCUUUGCAGAUUAAAACGAAAAAAAAUCGAGUUAAAACUAAAAUUUUGUAAACAGGACUUUACCCCUCGGUUAUUGUUAAAAAUCUAGGUAAAAAGUAGCACUGUUUUAAAAAUCCAAAAAAUGUAGUUGUAAGGCAUCGAACUUGUUACCAGUGCCACUUUUCCCUUCGGUUAUUAAAAAACUGAGGGAUAAAGUUGCAGGUUUUCAUGUCGCUUUUCGUUACCUCAUAUGUGUAGUCGAGGUUAUAUACCCUUCGCAACCGAGAUGAAUGUGGUUAUUUGUAGUAGGGAUGUGCGGAAGAGUACCAAUUUUUUCCUUCUAUUGACAUAAUUUUAACAUGUAGCCAAUAAUAAAUCGAAGCUCAAAUUUGAGUAUAAACUAGAUAAAAACCUGCGCGAUGUGUGGGUUAGAAUUAACUUUUAUUUGAUUAAUAUUGAAUUUAAAUUAUAUUAUUUUUUUUUUAAAAAUAUGGCUGACGAUUUAUAUUAUAACAUCUUAUUAUGAAAUAUAAUAUAGACAACAAUACAAAUUAAUCAAUAAUAAAAAUGAAUAUUUUACUUGAAAGAAAAAAUAUAUGUUUGUAAUUUGACUGUUAUAUCUAGAAUUUAGUUUUGGGAAAUUUUAAUAAUUCUAAAAGAUACUACUUGUGAUCAUUCUAAAAUGUUUAAUAUUGUUGUUGUUGUUGUUGUUGAAAAUUAGUAGUUAAUGAUUCUAUUGAUUUGGUUUAUUUGUUGUUGUUUUUGUUGUUGUUGUGGUUGUUGUUGUUGUUUUUGAGAUUUAAUGUUUAAAUAUUCCAUGAACUUUGUUGCUGUUUUUGUUGUUGAGAUUUAAUAUUUAAAGAUUCUAUUGAUUUUGUGUUUGUUGUUGUUAUUGGUGUUAAUGUUGUUGAUAAUGAGGAAGAUUUAGAAUUUGCCAACAAACUUGAUGCUUUGCAGAUUAAAACGAAAAAAAAUCAAGUUAAAAUUAAAAUUUUGUAAACAGGACUUUACCCCAUAUUUCCUUAAACACCUAAAUUUCUAUUAAUUUAGGUUAACUGAGUUCCUAUGUGUAAUAUCCCAUAACUGAGUUCCUAUUAUCAAUUGUAAAAAUUAGAGCUCCUAUGUGCUCUAAGUGUUAUCAAUUGGGACCAAUAGAGUAACCAGUGAACUCUGAAGGGAUUAAUUAUUAAUAAAGAGACAGACCAAUAUUAAUAAGUACGAGAGAGGAUAUUUUCGGUAACAUUAAUAAUUAGUCAAUUGGUACUGGUAGAUGAAAUAUCAAUUGAGAUAUUUAUGUUACUACUUAAUAUUAUAUAUUAUAUAUAUUAUAUAGUAUAUGUAUUGUGUGGUUAGAAAGAAAGAAAAGAAGAAGUGGAUAAGAAGAGAGGUGGUAGGUAGGAUAGAAGAAGAGAGUUAUCAGAAAGAAAAGAAAGAAAGGGAAGAAGAGAGAAAGAGGAAAAAGAGGAAGGAAGAAGAAGAGGAAGCCAUGGAACCACCAACAUCAUGUCAUCUUCAUCAUCAUCAUCACCACUUUCUACUCACCAUCUUCACCAUCUCCAUGUGUUCAAGGUGAGUUCUUAGAUAGAUUUAGCCUUUGGGGGAAAAUAACCUAUGUUGGGGGUUAGGAUUUGUGUGAAUUUGUGAUGAACUUGUUGUGUUCAUACUCCUCAUCCAUGCUAUGUGUUGAUAUCAUGUUGUUGUUGUUGAAAUUGUGAUACUUGGGUGUUUAAUUUUGAUGUGUAGGGGUUAGGAUUUGUGUGAAUUUGUGAUGAACUUGUUGUGUUCAUACUCCUCAUCCAUGCUAUGUGUUGAUAUCAUGUUGUUGUUGUUGAAAUUGUGAUACUUGGGUGUUUAAUUUUGAUGUGUUUUGUUGUUGAAAUUAUGGAGGUUAAUCACAUGAAUUCAUAACAAUAUAAGUUAUUCAUGAAAUAUUCCAAGAAUCAUGAGUUAACCAUGUUUUCUAUGAUUAUGGUGUUAUUGUAAUUGAACAUGGUUGUUGAGGUUGUUAAGAACAUGUGUUUAUGAGGUUGAGGAAUCCUUGAGUGUUGGUUGUUGUUGAAAAAUCAUGUUAUGUGAAAAUGGUAGGUAAAAAUGGUAGAUGGAAAGGAAAAUAAAAUAGGAGUUAUUUGAUGAAUUAAAAUAUAUCACCAAUGGGGUUCGAACCUGGGACCUUCUUGAAAUUGUACAAGCCUUACCACUAGGCCAAAGAUGUUGUUGUCAAAUAUUUAUGCAAUGAAUAAAUAUUAAUCUCAAUCUUGAUUAAGAUAGAUUAAUGAAUUAAUUGAGUGGUAUAACUUCGUUUUGGACACGGACGAAUGCGUUAGAAGGAUAAUGUAAAGGGCUAUUGUUAUUGUUCCAUGUUAUAAAAUAUCACGUGAUUGAUAAAUGCUAUGAAAUAUAUUAUGAUGAAUGUUAAACAUUGUUGAUAUGUUUGAUUGUGAAAUAACAUGAUUAAAGACCUUACAAAGAUGAGUGAGGAAACCUAGGAGAAUAACUUGAUUAAUAACUUAGAAAGAUGAUCUAGGUUAUGGAACAUGUGUGAUACAUGUAUGAGAAUACGAUAUUCAUUCGUACGACGCUUAUGUGGAGGUCAUGGACGAAUUGUUGCCAUGAUUGAGAAUGAGACGCAUUGUAUGGAACAUGCCAUGUUAUUAUUUGUGUAUUAUGGUGAAUGAAGUCACCUAUGUUUGAUGAAUUUGUUAUGGUUCGUGGAACCGAUGAUUAUGGAACCGAUCAUAUAUUCAGAAUGUGUGUUUUCUGUGGUGGUACACAUCUCUAUUGGUAUGCUUAGAUGAGUAAGCAUUAGGAUGUGGGACCAAUGAUUCGAGCCUCAAUUGGGUUUGAGCCCCAACCAUGGUGGACAUAGGGGAAAGGUGGACACCAAAGUGGGAUAAGGACCAUACGGUGAAAGAGACUCAAAGUGGGUAAAGUCCCAUACGAGUGAUGGUUCUUAAAAGUGGGUUUGAGUCCCAUAGGGGAACCGGAUAUCCACCGCGAAAGUCGAAUCAUACGAGCAUGCAUGAAAGUGGGUAAAGUCCCAUACGAGUGAUGGUUCUUAAAAGUGGGUUUGAGUCCCAUAGGGGAACCGGAUAUCCACCGCGAAAGUCGAAUCAUACGAGCAUGCAUGAACCGGGCCUGGCUUAGACGUAAGUGCAUACGUGAAUUGAUGCGUCGUGAUCUGAAUAAUGAUCGUGGUUGAGUUAUGAGAACUCAGAUGCAUGUUGCCAUACAAUUGCGAGAUAGUUUCCCCAUCGCUCAAGUCUUCGUUCCUUUGUUGACUUGAGUUGGAUAUGAGUUGAAUAUUGACUAGAAAACCCUGUAGAGCCGAGUGGACCCAUAGGAUAGGAGAACUCACUGAGAUUAUUAUCUCAUCCCAUUAUUGUUUUUAUUUUUCAGCUAAUCCUUACACGUUGAAAUCUUGAGGAGCUGUUUAUGGAUGUUUCAAGGGAUACUGUUUAUCAUGAUCUUCCGCUGUGGAGUUGUGUGCAAUGAAGAUAUUGCACAUAGUUCUUAGAUUUUUAUUGUUUAGGCAUUAUUGUAUAUAUAUAUAUAUAUAUAUAUUAUACGGGUUGUUACACUAUGUGCUCUAAAAGUUGCCAAUUGGGAUAAAUAGAGCAAAUAGUGAGUCCAGGUUGACUUAAUUAAUAUUAUUUGGAACUGACCUUUUAUUAAUAGGGACAUUUUGGUAACACUAAUAAUGGGUCAAUAGCUCUGGUAGAACAAAUAUUAUAAGUUUGGUGCCACUUGGGAUAUUUGUUGCUACUAGAAACCACUUACUAACCACAUGUUUGUAUUAGCCACUUGCAUUUGGACUUUGAAUAACUCAUCACCACAUUUUCUACCUACCAUAAGCCACUUCAUUUGUUCUAUGUAUCAGAAAGUAUAGAAAGAUAGAGGAAGCUCAAGAGAAGAAGGGAAAGCAAGGCUAGUAGAGAAGAAGAAGAAGAAGGAAAACUUGGAACCAACACCAUCAUCUUCAUCCUCAUCUCAUCUUCAACAACUUCUCCUCUUCAAUUUCUUGAGGUGGGUUCUAGUUAGAAACUCUAGGUUUCUAGAAAAGUUAGGGUUGUUAGAACUUUAGAAAAAUCCAUGAUAACCAUGGCUAUACUAAUGAAUAUGUUCUUCGGCUUCUUAUUGACUUUCCAUGAACAUGUGCUUUGUUGUGUUCUUAUAUUGGUUACGAUAACAUGAUUUGUUAUGGUUGUGGUGGAAUAAUUGGUUGUGAUUAUGACCUUGAAAAUCCUUGUGGUUGUGAGCUUGAAAUACUUGAUUUAUAUGUGUAUGAGAACAUUUAAUAUGAUGGGUUGUUGUUGGAAGAAGUAGUGGUAAUUUGUAGAAAUGGUAGAACAGAGGAAAAUGGGGUCUGUGAAGUGAAAUGAGAAAAUGUGAGUGGAUCAAUCGAUUGGCCUCUGUCAACCAAUGGAUUGACAACCUUUGGUUUAGCAGAAAUAUGAAAUUUUUACAGGACCAAUCGAUUGACACUGCAUGUCAAUCGAUUUCACAAACUUGAUGUAUAUGAACAGUGGAAAUUUUUAACAUGACCAAUCGAUUGACACUUAGGAUCAAUUGAUUGACACUCAGCAAAUUUUGAAAAAACAGAAAUGUGAGAGUAAUAAAUCAAUUGGGCUUCCCCAACCAAUCGAUUGACUCAAGUUAAAAACUUCAAAAUCCAUUUCUUAAGUGUUUUUAAAUGCAUUCUUCCAACCAUUAAUCAUUUGUGAUGCCAUGCUUAAGUUGAAUACAUGUAAAUAGUGAGAAUUACAUGAUGAAUAUAGUAAGUUAACCUAGGAUUGGUAUUAGGUCUUGAGUGAGGUUUAUGACUUAGAUAACAUUGAAUGAUGGUAUUCAUUCAAACGGUGCUUAUGUGGAGGUCGUGUACGAAUUGUUGCCAUGAUUGAGAAUGAGACACAUUGUAUGGAACAUGCUAUGUUAUAUUUGUGUAUUGUGGUGAAUGAAGUCACCUGUGCUUAAUGAAUUUUGUUAUGGUUCGUGGAACCGAUGAUUGUAGAACCGAUCAUGUAUUCAGAUGGUGUAUUUUAUGUGACGGUGCACAUCUCUAUUGGUAUGCUUAGAUGUGUAAGCAUUGGGAUGUGAGACCAAUGAUUCGAGCCUCAUUUGGGUUUGAGCCCCAACCAUGGUGGACAUGGGGGAAAGGUGGACACCUAGGUGACAUGGAGGAAAGGUGGACACCUAGGUGGGUUGGAGUCCCAUACGGUGAAAGAUACCAUAGGUGGGUUAGAGUCCCUUAGGGUGAAGGUCGCUUGAACUGGGGAUUAAGCCUCAUAGAAGACUCGAUACCCACCACGAAAGUCGAAUCAUACGAGCAUGCAUGAACCGGGCCUGACUUAGACUUAAGCCUGUUCGGGAAUUGAUGCGUCAUGAUCUGAAUACUGAUCGUGGUUAAGUUACGAGAACUCAGAUGCAUGUUGCCAUACAAUUGCGAGUUAGUUCCCCAUCGCUCAAGUCUUCGUUCCCUUGUUGACUUGAGUUGGAUAUGAGUUGAAUACUAAUUAGAAAACCCUGUAGAGUCGAGUGGACCCAUAAGAUAGGGAACCCACUGAGAUUAUUAUCUCACCCCAUGUUGUUGAUUAUUUUUUUCAGGUGGUUCUGAGCAGGAUAAGGGUAAGGGAAAGAUAGAGUGAUGUCUUGCUUACUUGAGGACUGGUGGCUUUUCUUCUGCUGUGUAGAUAUUUUUGAGAUCAUUGUCUAAUGAUCUAGAUCUGGGCAUGUAUUUGUAUAUGUACACUGUGCUGCUAGGCACUUAUGUAUUUCAGUGCUGUAGCACCUCAAAUUUGCACCCUGCCAUUGUUUACAUUCAUUUCAUAUUAGGUCAUAGCAUUAACAAUGUCCACUGCAUAACAUUGCAUUGUCCAUUUGCCCAAGUGCAAGCUCAAUUGAUGGAUUGGGUCAGACUGAUCAGGAGAAUCAGUCAAUCAAACAAGUGAGUGCCAUUUNGCGCGCGCUCCCAACAAAUUUCAACACUUGUCAUGAUUAUUCAUUCCUAGGACGCUACACACUCGUAUAUUAUCUACUACGUAGUCCUAACAUAAAUACACCCUUACGUCCAUAGUACAUUAAGGUAUCAUCAUACGAGUAAUAUUAAUAUAUAUACUAUCACUACAUUAUACUACGGAUAUUAUUACGGGUCGUUCCGCGGCCCUCUACACUAUUGUGCUCUAGAAUUAGCCCAAUUGGGAUAGAUAGUAGAGGCAAACAUGCAAUCCCACCGCUCCACGCCUGAGUCCGCCAGCCAGCGCUCUUCUUGACUAAUUAUAUGAUUUGGAACUUACCUUUUAUUAAUAGCGGACAUUUUGGUAACACAAUAAUGGGUCAAUAGCUCUGGGUAGAACAAUAUUAUAAGUUUGGUGUCACUUGGGAUAUUUUUGCUACUAGAAACCACUUACUAACCACAUGUUUGUAUUAGCCACUUGCAUUUGGACUUUGAAUAACUCCAUCACCCACAUUCUACCUACCAUAAGCCACUUCAUUGUUUCCUAUGUAUCAAGAAAGGAUAGAAAGAUAGAGGAAGCUCAAGAGCAAGAAGGAAGCAAGGCUAGUAGAGAGAAGAAGAAGAAGAGAAAACUUGGAACCACACCAUCAUCUUCAUCCUCAGCUCUUUCAACAACUUCUCCUCUUCAAUUUCUUGAGGUGGUUCUAGUUAGAAACUCUAGGUUUCUAGAAAAGUAGGGUUGGCUUAGAAUCUUUAAAAUCAUGAUAAUCCAUGCUAUUUAAUGAAUAUGUUCUUGCUCUUAUUGACUUCCAUGAACAUGUGCUGUUGUGUCUUUAUUGGUACGAUAACAUGAUUGUUGAGGUUGGCGUGGAUAACAAAAAUAAUUGGUUGUGAUUAUGACUUGAAAAUCCUUGUGGUUGUGAGCUUGAAUACUUGAUUUAUAUGUGUAUUAGACAUUUAAUAUGAUGGUCUCGUUGUUGAGAAGAAGUAGUGGUAAUUUGCUAGAAAUGGCGUAGAACAGAGCGAAAUCGGGUCGUGUGAGAGUGAAAUGAGAAAAUGGAGGGACUCAAUCGAGUGGGCUUCUUGUACAACGCAUGGAUUGACACUCUUGGUUUAGCAGAAAUAUGAUAUUUUAACCAGGACAACGGAUUGACAUUCGAGUGUCAAUCGAUUUCACUAAACUUGCAUGUAUAUGCAACAGUCGGAACAUCUUACCUCUUAACCAUGACCAACUCCCUGUUACCAUAAUUGACAUUAGGGAUUGACGAACUCCAGCAAAUUUUGAAAAAAACAGCACAAUCUGAGCAGUAAUAACAUCAAUUCUGGGCCUUCCCCAACCAAGUCGAUUGACUCAAGUUAAAACUUCAAAACCUCCAUUUCUUAAGUGUUUAACAUGCUUCUCCUCCAACACGCUUAAUCAUUCCUGUGACGCCAUGUUGUUAAGUUUGCCUAAUACAGUGUAAUAGUGAGACAUUACUGAUGGAUGGACUAAGCUAAAGUCAUUAACACCAGGAUGUGGUAUGUUAAAGGCUCUCUGGUAGUGAGGCUUUCUAUUGACUUAGAUAAAUUGAAUGCUGGUAUUCAUUCAAACAGUGCUUCUAAUGUGCGAAGUCGGUACGAAUUGUUGCCUCAUAAUUCGAAGAAGAGACAAUUGUAUGAACAUGCUAUGUUAUAUAUUGAUGUAUGUGUGGUGAAUGAAGUCACCUGUGCUUAAUAAUUUGUUCAUGGUGAUGGGCGUUGACGAUGGAUUGUAGAACCGAUGCCAGUCGAUUCAGAUGUGGUGCUGAUUUUAUGUGACGCUGCACAUUCUAUGGUAAUGCUUAGAUGUGUAAGAUUCGGGAUUGAGAGCAUCAUCUUUCGAGCCUCAGUUUGGUUUGAGCCGGCCAAGCCAUGCGUGGACAUGGGGAAACGGGACACCUAGGGUCGACCAUGAAAAGGUUGGGACACUAGGUGCUUUGGCAAGUCCCCCCACUCACGGCUGUUGUCGUGGCUUAAACAUCACAUGUUUGUCUGUUUGAAACAGAUACAUAGGGUGGGGUUUAGAUUAGGUCCUUCUUAGGGUUGAGGGUCCAUAGAACGGCGCUGUGUGGGUUAGACCUCACUCACGAUUAGACUCCGUGAUUACCGCACAUCGGAAAGUCGCCAGCACUCACUCUCCACUAACCCCAUCACUGCCAUGAAACGCGGCCCUACUUAACUUACCUGUCGCUCGUCCUGGUUCCGGAAUAUUGAUCGUCCAUGAUCUGAAUGACUGCAUCUACCCCGACGUGGUGAAGGUUGACGAGAACUCAGAUGCACUGUUGGCCAUACUCAAUGCCGAUCGUUCGAUUCCCACCUUUCGCCUCACUCCUUCGUUUCCUUUUUGACUUAUUCCUUGGCGAUCCCCAUACUGAGUUUGACUUAUACUAUUACGCCAAACCCCUUAGGAGCGACUGGAUGGACCCAUCAAGCAAGGCAAGCCCAGCCCACUUGAGAUUAUUAUCUCUGACCCCAUUUCGUGAUUAUUUUCCUAUCUCUAUCAUCCGCGUCGGCUUUCUCCUUCAGUCACCCUACUCUAACUCUAUUGUCCUCAUCAUUCCGUGAACAGGUAAGGGAGAAAAUAGAGUCCCGUCCAUGCUCGGUAGCACAGUUCUCUGCCCAAGUCUUUAGUCAUCUUCGCUACCCGCCACUAUGUGCAGGGGCGCCACGGCCACUGCGGCUGGCUGCUCUCUUUCCUGGCGCGCUCUCUGUAGUCAGUCUCAUCGACUCGCUUUUUAGAGGCACCCACCCAUUCCACGAUUCCCACCGCGCCCCUCGGAAGGAAUCAUUCUGCAUCAUUGUUUUAUAUUGUAGUACUAGCACCUGGGUCCGUGUAUUGCUUAUAUGCUAGGCAUGGCUAAAAUGUUGACUGCUACGCGCCCCCGGGUCACUCUACCGUGGUAUUUCAGUGCGUAUUUCAGUAUGCGCACUUAAAUACUUUGCCGCACCGGCCUCGCCAUCACUUGUUUACAUUCAUCUUCAUAAUCGUCCGUUCAGUCGAAUGAGCUGCCUCAUUACACGAAGUCACCGCCCACACACUCAUUGUCUGUUGGCUCUCAAGUGCAAGCUUUCACAUUCCUUCCACUGGUGGGCGAUGCCUCGUCAGACUGCUUCCAGCCGUGAGAAUCACGUCAGUCAAACAACCUUCGAGUGCCCUUUUUAAUCGCACCCUCGCUGCCGUAAGCGGGUCAUUAUCAGGCUUCACGGUUGUCUCCUUUAACGUGAAGCGGGGGGUCAUUUGCAAGGGUGUCCUGGCUUUGCCAAAGAAAUGGACUCGUGCUCAGAAAGUCGAGCCAGGCAGCAUUUUUAUGGUCACAGAAAUCCCUUAGAGCGCAAAGCUCAACGCUCGGUUCGGUGUGCUCAACGUUGCCCCGCGAUCUUAUCGGAGACGAAGCACUUCCGCUGGGCCCAACGGCUGGGGCGGAAAUGGCGGGCUCUCAUUGCAAACCGCCCUUCAUGUCCAUACAUGUGCUCAUUUGACAUAGUCGAAAGCACCACAUGUUGCCACGCCAAGCACCUCUUGCACGUUCACCUCACCUAAGAAUGAAGUUCCUAACCAACAUUGUGGCAGGAAGCCCUUGAUUCUAUUGCCGCGCUCCACUCUCACAGGACGCUGUUCCCAGUACCUCUCCAUACGAUAUUCUAUGGAUGCCUGGCCCAAAAAUCCGGCGAAACUUUUCUCCUCGCAAAAUACUUCAUCAUUACAACAGCUUCCGAUAAUGCGAAUUUUUGCCAAGCAUGAAAAUGUGGUAAAUCCACCGGUGUUCGUCACGCUCAUUCCAAAAAGUCGAAAGAAUCCGAACGAAUCCCAUCGCGGCGCCCUGAUGGUUCCGGAGGCGAAAAUUAUGGCUCGAUACUUCAGAAAUCACCCAUAAAUCAGACCAUAACUUCCGACAUGCCUCUUGUCCCAAAUUGCACUACAGUUCUUUGUACUAUGCACGAAACUCCCGAUUUGGACAUGCUCACUCAUUCAAUAUGAUGCCCAUAAUGAUUGUUCGCACAAGCGGGGCCUCGAAGCGCAAAACGUCCGAUUUUGAAGUGAACUAAUUAAAAGUGAGGGGCAAAAUGGUCCAAAAUGCAAAGUAUGAAGAAUUUGAAGAUGACACCAAUGCCAUUAGCUUCCAAAUGAUAUUUGCAACUUGUUCAAAGUGAGAAAUUACUGCUGCAAGGUCUCUAACCAUUCAAGGGCAAAAAAGGCCAAAUGCACAUAAGCCAUUUUCACUAAUCACCCUUUUUCACUAAUCUUGAUUAAUUGGAGGAUUAGGAGCACCAUAUAUAUACUUAAUUCUAACAGAAUCUGCAGGAACUAAUCACAUUUCACAAAUUCAAGAGAAAAUCUCAAGAAAAUUUUCACCAUUCUCUCACUUUUUCACUUUGAGCUUUCAUCCUUUUUUCACCAAUUCAUCCACAAUUCUGCAAGUUUUGUGCGAAUUCUUGGUGAAUCCAUUAUCUAUACUUGUUGUUGAAGUUCUGUUUUCAGGUGUUGGAUCAAGAAGCAUUGAGGAUUCCAACUGUUGAAGCAACCUCCAUUUCCAUGGCAGUUAGAGAAAUCCGUUGAUUCAAGCGCGUUCGAGCUGGAUUAGCAUCAUCAUUCACCUUCCACAACAAUAUUCUUCAUCUGUUUUCGCCAUUCAAGCCUCAAAUCGCGCGGUUUCGCUACUGCUUGAAGUUCUUCCAAUUUAAAGCAAGUAGUGCAUUUCACGAAUUGCGUUGUGGUUAUUGUAGAAUGCUGUUUGUAGAUCACGUAGCAAGUUGUGGAUUGUAAAAUUGUUGAGAAUUGCCUGAGUUAUUGUCGUUCGAAAUUCAUACGCGAUUUCUAUUUUCCAUCGAUUCGCUUCACUCAUUAACUUCUGGACGAAAUCACCACCACAUUCGUGAUCCUGAGUUGACGCCGGUUCUAACGGUGUAUCGUUUAUGCAUUUUCGUUAGAAUUCGGUCACUACCUAAUUUGCAGAUGAAGAACUCAAGAACCGCGAUGAAGAACAUAAGAAUUCUGGAAAUCCUUCGUUUUGAUCCUUCAUUCACGCGACUUCCAUUAGAUUUGUGUUUUUGGCGCGCCCGAGCGAAUCAAAUAGCGCCACCUCAUUUAAGUUGAACGGCUGCGUUUUGGCCUUGGCUACGUUAAUUACAGAUCUGCCAUUUUCAUUCAUAAUUAAUUAAUAAAAUCCAUAUUAAAUCAAAUAAAUAUUUCAAUAAAUCUUCAAAUCUUCAAAAAAUCAUAAAAUGAUCAAUUUUCAUCCAAAUAAUUUGAGACUUUUUUUUGAUAAUCUCCUUUUUUAAUCUAGUAUUUUUUAGACAUAAAAAUUAAAGUUGUGCUUGGUAAAUAUUUAAUUGGCAUAGGGAUGUUCAUCAUGUGUGCUAUUUUGAUGUGUUUUACCAUUUUUAUCAUAAAAUGACCAUGCCUUAUCCAAAUGAAUUGAAAUUUUAGAGGAUGAUUCUUGACACAUUUCUGGAGAUUUUGACAUAUGAUUUGUAAUUUUUGGACCUCUGGUUUGCUAGAUGUGAUUAAUUCUUUUUGAGUGUGACAACAUGUGUCGCACUUUGAUAUGCUGAGUUCAUGUAUUAUUUUUCCCUGCUUCCCUUUGACCUAUGGCCUUGAUUUUUUGCAUGAGAUACCUUCGACAUGUUAACUUUCAAUAUGAAUUUUUGUGGAUUUUAAUAAUCCAUUUUCUAAUUAAUUUGGAAUUUUGUUUGCUGCUUAGCAUCUUUAGGGCUUUGCUUGUGUAACAUUUUUUCCUAUGUUGCCAAAUCCUCAUCCCUAACCCUAUGAGUAUGAAAUUUGGUGAAGUAGUUCCUGAUAUGUGUAGCUUACAUUUGGCUUUGGUCCUACUAAUUUCCCAUUUAAUAUCACUGUUUACCAUUUGAUUGAAGUUAGUGUACAUGUUGUGAUCUAUUUUGGUUGUGUUUUUGCAUGCCUUAACAUGUUGAUUUAAUUGACAUAGUUCCACUAGUCCAAAUGGCAUAAAAAUUGACAUGUAGCUUGUUGAAUGUCCUCUGUUUAUGAUAUAAUUUUUGUGGAAUUUUCUAUGCUGUUUUGGUAUUUUUUUGGAUGUAAUCAUUCUGGUUGUCCAUAUGUGAUUCUACAUUGCUUACUUUGCCUUAAUUUGUGCAUAAAAUGAAAUUGGUGUAUGGUUUGGAUAUGAGACCAAUUGGGAUCCCUUUGUAAUUGAAUUAUCUUGGUUUUGAUUAUGAUUUGCUUGCUGUUUUAGGAUUUUUCCAUCCUUUGGACCCUAGGCUUGGCCUAGUGGUCUAGUUACUUAUGUUUGAGCUUGACUUUGACUUUUCAGGUUAAAAAGCUAGUGCCUUAAGGAGGUUGAUGCAUAAUUGAGUUGUUUCCUUUGAUCAUUGUAUACUAAUUUGUUUGUGUUGUAGGGUGCUUGGUUCACAUGGACUUGGUGCUAUGCACCUCAUUGUUUGAUUGUUGAUUGAUUCUUAUUGUUGUUGUUUUGUUUAUGUUGGGAUGCUGAUUCUGUUUGACUGUUUCCAGGUACCCCUAGUUGCUCAGUUCUCUUAAGAACUUGCAUUGCUUUGCUUAUAAGCAAUUAGCAUUGAGGUAUUGCACUUUCUUCUUCAUGUAGUCUGGAGACCCGGCUGUUAUUUGGCCGGGCAAACUGUCUGAAGUCCUCCUUAAGAGGCAAUGCUUGUGUAUGUUUAUAUUUGUCCCAAGCAGGAAAAGUCCUCGUUUGAGGCAAUUGGUGGAAGGUAGGGAUAAGCAAUCUAUCCCCCACUAUUCUGUGAGUCUUCUCCUUGCUCCCAUUACAUGGUUGUAGCAUUGAGAUCCAAACCCAAGAUCUAUCGAGUCCAAUUGGGGAAAGAGUUCCAUCUUUCUGAACUCCCCCACAUUCUUAUAUUUACAUGCUCUCUCGGACCUGAGAUAGAAGCAAUGAGGCACACCCCUCAUCACCUUUCAUCUGGCUUCACCUUAGCCCCUCAAUGGCAAGGUUAAGAGCUAACCUGACCCCGAUACAGAGGCUUGUUUGUUGAGGUUGAUAUGACCCCUCGACUAAAGCCUAACCCUGAUGUUUGAGCCCCUUGUUGGUGUGUUUAUUUCAUGCUGUAUAUGUUUGUGUGGUGUGAUUGUAUCCCCUAGGUUUGCUAGACUCCGCGUAGUCUCGUUUGCAUGUCAAUUAAGGUAGCACGGUUCCUUCGUAUAGGACUUCCUUUCUUGCUUGAGCUUUCCUAAAACACAAACAAACAUUAUCCCCUCUUAAGGAUACGUCAACUCCUUCUACUACAGGUGAGUAAGUCUCCAAAGGUCGAGCAUCCGGUAGAUUGCGUAGUGACGUUGUCCACCUAAAAAACACAAACCAACAGGAAUAGUUUAGCCGAACUACGGCAACUCUGAUUCUCAUGUCCAGAUGAGAUACGUAGGCACGAGAUGCGAUGUCUUGUCGAGUUUGACUAACAACUAACACUAAUUCUUUUCUCUCGCCCUCGUUGCGAUUGAGACCUCCCCUUUCUCUUGCCCUAGUUGCAAUCGAGACCCUUCUUCUUCCUGUGUCUUGUUGUGUGCUUGGAAGCUGAUGUAAGUCCAUCGAGUGGCGUUCGGGUUCCAGUGUGAGUUCGUUUGGUUCGGAUGCUGAUGUAAGCCCAGUGAUUGGCAUUCAGGCUCCAUGUUAGCCUUCUUGUGUGUGUUUUGGUUCGGAUGUUGAUGUAAGCCCAGUGAUUGGCAUUCAGGCUCCACGUUUGCCUUUGCCUGCAUUUGUUUGUGUGCGUAUUAGCCGAGCUACGAAUGCUCUGAUUCUCCUUCGUCCAAAGGAGAUACGUAUGCAUAGGAUGUGACAUCCUAGCGAGCAUGUGUCGUUUCCCCGGUCGAACUACUUUGACUCUGAUGUCUAUGCUUGAUAGACUAAGUAGGCCCAGGAUGCGAUAUCCUGCCGAGUCAGUCUUGUUUGUUUCCUUGUGUCUCUUUCAGCCUGUGUAGAUGUGUGUUUGAGCAGUGUUUUAGCAACCAUUUCCUUUCCUAUUGUGCGUGGAUCCCGUCGAGUACGACGGAUGCGUAGGGGUGCUAAUACCUUCCCUUCAGCAUAACGACUCACCGAUCCCAAUUUCUAUUGGUACGCGGACCAGUUUUUUCGCAAGGUUACUUCGACGGCGUUGUCCUUUCCCUCUUUUGGGAUAAAUAACGCACGGUGGCGGCUCUGUUGUUCUUGUUUUCCCGCCGGUUUUUCGCGUAAUGCGACAGCUGGCGACUCUGCUGGGGAAUAAACAGAAGUUGACCUGUGCUGGUCCAUCUUCCCUAAGCGAGUCUCUCCUAGCGCUCUCUAGGUUAGGGCUUUGGUUGCUUUUUGCUGCUAUUUAUUGCAUUCAUUGUAUAUAUUUGCAUUUACAGUUUGCAUUUAUUGUUUGCAUUAAUGUUUGCAUUCAUUCAUUAUUCAUCUGUCUGGCUGGUUGUCUGUUUUCCUUUGUUGGGGUGGGAGUUACUCGAGGUAAAAGGCCCAAUACCCAGGCUAUGAGUGAAAUCUAGGAAACCUAGGAAUAGAGUGAUUCAUGGGAAGCGGGUGGUAUGCGCCACUUAGCGGAACAUUGACGUCACGAGCAGUUCAGACCCUGGUGGAGCAUCAUCGUUGCAUACUUCAGGUGUGUAUAUGAUGGUAUUCUGCGAAAGGUUAUUUAUGCUGCGUUUCUUUCGACCUUACCCUGGCCUAGAUGACACCCGUGAGUGGGAGGGGUUGAUUAUUACAGGUAUUGUUGCUGACUUGUUGGUGACUGGUUGGUGACUCUUGGUACUGAUGGUGACUGUGAAUUAUGGACAUUUAUUUCUGGGACGCCGGAGUUCUGUCUGUGGUUUAUCAGCGGGUUCCGUUUAUUUCGGAUCCCCGGGUUGAAUUUGAGAGUAAGGUUGAGAGACAUCCAGAUGUCAGAAUGUUGUUGAUAAAAUUUUAUCUGUCUCGAUGAAACCGGAAUCAAAGGACAGAAUAUUCCUAGUACGGAUAGACAUUGCAUGUGUGAGUCAUACUAACCUGUCUGUUGUUUUGUAGGUUUCAGUAUUCAACCGGUGCGCAUAGCUCGUCUGUUCAGAUAACCUGCUGAGGUCAACAAAUCCAAGCUGAUGGAUCUCCCCAAUGCCGACAUCCUUGAGCUGAAAGAGAUGGUGAGGGACUUGUUCAGUGUUGUGCAAGGGCUUGCCUCGGGGCAGAAAGCCAUGUCGGAGAGAUUGGAAAAGAUUGAGAAGUGGCUGAUAGUGGAGAAAGUUCAGGGGAAGUCUCCGUCCUCCGAAGUAAACAAACCUUCUGGCACCGUGGUAAAUAAACUUUCUGACAGUGGUCCUUUCAAGAAGGAGGUUGAGUCAGUUGGUAUGCCGGUAAAAAGAGAACGCAGUAAGGACCGUUAUCACCCUUAUGCUGCUGCUGUAACCACUCCUGUUGGUAAUCCACUUGUACCACCGCAACAACUACCACCUCAACAGAAGGCACCGAGAGCCAGGAGCCAGGUGAAGAAGAAAAAGGAGGAGCGUCAGUUCGAGGAACCACCUGUGACCUACACCCUUUUGUUCAGGAGAUUGAGGGAUUUGGGGUUAGUCCGGCCAAGGAUUUUGAUUCCCAUAGCACAACAGAAGANNNNNNNNNNNNNNNNNNNNNNNNNNNNNNNNNNNNNNNNNNNNNNNNNNNNNNNNNNNNNNNNNNNNNNNNNNNNNNNNNNNNNNNNNNNNNNNNNNNNNNNNNNNNNNNNNNNNNNNNNNNNNNNNNNNNNNNNNNNNNNNNNNNNNNNNNNNNNNNNNNNNNNNNNNNNNNNNNNNNNNNNNNNNNNNNNNNNNNNNNNNNNNNNNNNNNNNNNNNNNNNNNNNNNNNNNNNNNNNNNNNNNNNNNNNNNNNNNNNNNNNNNNNNNNNNNNNNNNNNNNNNNNNNNNNNNNNNNNNNNNNNNNNNNNNNNNNNNNNNNNNNNNNNNNNNNNNNNNNNNNNNNNNNNNNNNNNNNNNNNNNNNNNNNNNNNNNNNNNNNNNNNNNNNNNNNNNNNNNNNNNNNNNNNNNNNNNNNNNNNNNNNNNNNNNNNNNNNNNNNNNNNNNNNNNNNCCGCAAAGCAAGAGACAGACUCCAUCUGGUCGAAGGCAGACAUGUUUGGGAUCGGUUAUGCCGAGCAUCAAGAGUCGUCUAGACCAAACAGAGGUACUGCACCCCGUACAUCUUCGCAGUGCAAGGACAUGCUGAUUCUGAUCACGCCGCUUUCGUGCAUGAAGCAGAUCACCAGCAGAUGGACGUGGGCUGAGCUCGAGUUGUGGAUUAAAGUGUCUGACGUACCAGGCAAUUGGAGGCCGUCCAAAACCUAUGCAGUGCUUCAUCGAAUGGCGAAAGUCAUUUUUUCUGUGUUAAAGGUUAUUGUUUGGCAUGAAACCAUAACGUUUCUGGCCCGAAACGUCUGGUCAUGUAAGGGAUGCCAUCCUCACUCGCUCCUCAUUUAUGCAUCAUCUGCAUCAGUAUAAAUGGAUGUUUUGUGAUCAGAAGCGGUGUCCCCUGUUUCUCAUUUUUUAUGCCGAUGUUUUAAAGAAAAUAAAUGGCAAUGUUUUCGCUUUUUCUUAAUUGAACUUGUCUUUCCAAACCCAAACAAAAGUGAUUACAAACUGACCGAUCUCAUCGAUAACAAUUCUGGGUCACCUACUAUAAUAGAACUAGUAAAAAAAAUCAACGCAUCCCAAGCUAGCAUGCCGAGGAAGUAAGGGACAGAAGACAUAUCUGUGAUCUCUUGAAUAAUAGCCACAGGUUGUUGAAACAAUGAUAGGCAGAAAGGUGAUUCACCACGCGACGAAGAGAGCCCGAGUCAAGAUGGGUAACCGAGUACCACCGCAAAGGUCCAAGGGAAAGCGAAAGUUGAGGCCGCUUCAGAGGCAAGUCGAGAACUGAAUGGUAGCCCUGUUGAAAGAGAUAUCUUCACCUGGUUGCAUCAAGAUGCACCAGGGUGGAAUACCCAUGUUGUGGGGCACGAGCUACCAUCGAGAGAAGACUAUCCUCUAGUGAAGAAGAAGGCCGGUGCCACGGAUCAAGGGGCUACGGUGACUUUGUUUCAUGAUAUGAAUCAUCAUGAAAGCGAAUGCUAUGUUGAUGACAUGAUAGCGAAGUCCUAAGCCGAAGAGGGGCAUCCGGUGGAUCUGGGGCAAAUCGUUUGACCGGAUCGAAACUACUCAGACUGAGGUUGAGUCCGAACCAGUGCACUUAUGGAGCGUUGUCCAGCAAGCUGCGUAUUCUAGACAAGCCGCAUACGCACCUGAUGAGAGGUGGAAGAUUGAUCAGUUUCUUUUUGGUCUGAGGGGUGAAAUUUCUCAUAGUGUUUCUCAAAGGGAAUUCACUUCUUAUGCUGAACUGUUAAGACAAUGUUGUGGCUGAGAACGUUGUAAGAAAGUCAAGCAAGAAACGAAUCAAUUCAGGAGUGGGCGAGAGACCAAGGAAGGCGGGAAGCCAAUUCAGGCCUAGAUCACGGGCUUUCAAGGGAAAACAGGUGCAACAUGCAAGACCUAACCAACCUCCUCAAUGUCAAGCAUGUAAGAAGUAUCAUUUUGGAAGAUGUGCUGUAAGUGGAAUUAGGUGUUUUACUUGUCAGAGAGAGGGGCACAUGUUUAGGGAAUGCCCUCAGAAUAAGAAUCAGAUGCAGGGGAGGAGUACUGGUCGAGUUUAUACCUUAGAUGCAAGGAAGGCUAAGAGCAAUAAUGCCUUAAUUGCUGGUACGUGUCUCGUCAAUAAUCAUCCUUGUUUUGUAUUAUUUGAUUGUGGGGAGACACACUCUUUUGUAUCAAUUCGGUGCAUGAAGUGUCUUGGCUUGCAAGCAAUUCCCUUGUCUCCUCCUAUGGUGGUUACUACCGCCAAGGAUGAUGUGGUUGAGACACCGUUGAUUUGUGAAAAUUGUUCGCUCUCGGUGAAUGGUAGAAUUUUUCAGAUUGAUCUUAUUUGUUUACCAUUUAAGAAGGUUGAUGUGGUUUUGGGGAUGGAUUGGCUUUCCGCCAACUCGGUGUUUAUUGGUUGUGAAGAGAAGUUGAUUAUCAUUCUAUCUAGUGAAGCUACUCCAAAGGAUGUGUUAACUACAAUCUUGGAAGGUACGGUUGGCAUGGUUAAUUUCUUAUUUGAGAAUGAAAAGUCAGUUCUCUUGGUUCUUACCAAGGAAUCUAGCGAUAAUCUGAGUGUUACACAAAUCCCUGUUGUUUGUGAAUUUCCAAAAGUUUCUCCUGAGGAUGUCUCCUCUCUUCCUCCUGAAAGGGAAGUGGAAUUCUCUAUUGAUCUGAUACAUGGGACGACUCCAAUCUCCGUCUCUCCGUAUCGCAUGGCGCCACUAGAGUUGAGAGAGUUGAAGAAUCAAUUAGAAGAGUUGUUGACCAAGCAUUUCAUCUGACAUAGUGUCUCACUAUGGGGAGCUCCAGUGUUAUUAGUAAAGAAGAAGGACGGUAGUAUGCGGUUGUGUAUUGAUUAUCUCUAGUUGAAUAAAGUUACCAUCAAGAACAAGUAUCCUCUGCCAAGGAUAGACGAUUUGUUAGAUCAGUUGAAAGGAGCCUGCGUGUUCUCGAAGAUUGAUCUACGAUCGGGCUAUCAUCAAAUAAGAGUUAAGAGUUCGGAUGUACCAAAGACCAUAUUUAGAACCCGAUAUGGCCAUUAUGUUUUCCUUGUAAUGCCGUUUGGUGUAACAAAUGCCCCAACUGUUUUCAUGGAUUAUAUGAAUCGGAUAUUCCAACCCUGCUUGGACCAGUUUAUGGUGAUCUUUAUUGAUGACAUUCUUAUUUAUUCUAGUACUUCUCAAGAGCAUGGAGAACACCUAAGGAUUGUUCUAUCAGUACUGCAAGAGAAACAACUUUUUGCCAUGUUAAGUAAGUAUAAAUUUUGGAUGAACAAAGUGAGGUUUCUUGGUCAUAUAAUAUCACAAGGAGGAGUAUCGGUGGAUCCAUCUAAAGCUGAAGCAGUUAUUAAUUGGGAAAGACCGAAGAAUGCUUCCGAAGUAAGAAGUUUCUUAGGUUUAGCAGGUUACUAUCGAAGGUUUAUAAAGGGAUUUUCGCAGAUAGCGUUACCAAUGACUAGACUUACCCGAAAAGAAAUUUCUUUCAAAUGGGAUUCGAAGUGUGAGAAGACAAAAUACUCAAACUUCCUGAAGCUAACGACUGCUCCUAUUUUAGUCAUUCCUGAUCCUAGUAAGUCUUAUGAAGUAUUUUGUGAUGCCUCUAAGAAAGGAUUAGGAAGCAAUCGAUUGGUCCUGUAAAAAUUUCAUUUUUUAUGCUAAACCAAAGGCUGUCAAUCGAUUGGUAACAGGGGCCAAUCGAUUGGUUCACUCAUAUUUUCAUUUUUCCACUUCUCAGAACACCAUUUUCCUCUUUAACUCCAUUUCCAAUCAAACCCACGCUCCUUCAUCCAACACAUCCAUCUCACUACAUGCUGAUAUACACAUGUACAACAAGAAUCCCAAGUUCAUAACUACAAGGAUUUCAACAUCAUAACAUAACCAUAACAAAUCAUAUUAUCAUACCAAUCAAUAAAACACAUUAAGGCACAUGUUCAUGGAAAUCAACAAGAGCAAGAACAUAUUCAUCUUAUAGCAUGGAUUUUCAUGAUUUGUCUAACAUUCUACAACCCUAACUUUUCUAAAAACCUAAAGUUUCUAACUAGAACCCACCUCAAGAAAUUGAAGAGGAGAAGUUGUGGAAGAUGAAAUGAGGAUGAAGAUGAUGGUGCUGGUUCCAAGUUUUUUCCUUCUUCUUCUUCUUCUCCACUAGCCUUGCUUUUCCUUCUUCUCUUAAGCUUCCUCUUUCUUUCUAUGCUUUCCUUUCUCUCUACUUAUCCUUUUUGAUACAUAGAAAACAAAUGGCAAGUGGUAAGUGGUAUAAGACACAAACAUGUGGUGGUGAGUGGGUCAAAGGUCAUAAACAAGUGGCCAUUAUGAUUUAUGUGGUUAGAAAGUGGUGGAGUGGUAGCAAAAAAUAUCUCAAGUGGCACUAACUUGUAAUAUUUGUUCUACCGGAGCUAUUGACCCAUUAUUAGUGUUACCAAAAUGUCCCAAUUAAUAAAAGGUCAGUUCCAAAUAAUAUUAAUUAAGUCAACCUGAACUCACAUGGCUCUAUUUAUCCCAUUGGCAACUUUUAGGCACAUAGAAACUAAGUUAUCUCAAUUAAUAGGAAUUUAGACAUUGGGGUAUUACACAAAGUGUUGAAAUUUAAACUUAAGAUGUUGAAAAUAAUGAUAAUGAAAGCAUGAGUAUAAAAAUAUUUCAAGGUUGGUUUCUUAAUGUAAUCUUUUCUCGAGUAAUUCCUUGUUAAAAAUGUUUAAUGUUAGUUAAGAAAGCAUGAAAUGAACUUACUAAUCAUAGUUGUAGUUAUAACAAGUAAAAUGUUUAAUAUUGUUGGUGUUGGUGUUGAAAUUUAGUAGUUAACGAUUCUAAAAUGUUUAAUAUUGUUGAUGUUGUUGAAAUUUAGUAGUUAACGAUUCUAUUGAUUUUGUUUAUUUGUUGUUUUUUGUUGUUGUUGUUGUUUUUGAGAUUUAAUGUUUAAAUAUUCCACGAACUUUGUUGUUGUUGUUGUUGAGAUUUAAUAUUUAAAAAUUCAAUUGAUUUGGUGUUUGUUGUUGUUAUUGGUGGUAAUGUUGUUGAUGAUGAGGAAGAUUUAGAAUUUUCCAACAAAUUUGAUGUUUUGCAGAUUAAAACGAAAAAAAAUCAAGUUAAAACCAAAAUUUUGUAAACAGGACUUUACCCCUCGGUUAUUGUUAAAAAUCGAGGUAAAAAGUAGCAUUGUUUUAAAAAUCCAAAAAAUGUAGUUGUAAUGGAUCGAACUUGUUACCAGUGCCACUUUUCCCUUUGGGUAUUAAAAAACUGAUGGAUAAAGUGGCAUUGUUUCAUGUCGCUUUUCGUUACCUCAUAUGUGUAGCCGAGGUUAUAUAACCUUCGCGACCGAGAUGAAUGUGGUUAUUUGUAGUAGGGAUGUGUAUGAGAGUACUAAUUUUUUCCUUCUAUUGGCACAGUUUUAACAUGUAGCCCAUAAUAAAUCGUAGCUCAAAUUUGAGAAUAAACUAGAUAAGAACCCGCGCGAUGCGCGGUUGUGAAUUAAUUUUUAUUUGAUUAAUAUUGAAUUUAAAUUAUAUUAUUUUUUUAAAAAAAUAUGGUUGAAGAUUUAUAUUAUAACAUCUUAUUAUGAGUUAUAAUAUAGAAAACAAUACAAAUUAAUCAAUAAUAAAAAUGAAUAUUUUACUUGAAAGAAAAAAUAUAUGUUUGUAAUUUGAAUGUUAUAUCUAGAUUUUAGUUUUUGCAAAUUUUAAUAAUUCUAAAAGAUACUACUUGUGAUCAUUUUUUAUAUUUUGAUUCUCAUUUCUCUUAGACACUCAUAUGUGAGAAAUCAAUAAUGUUAUUCUAAAAUAAUCUAACAACCCAUUUUCAGUGCUUGUGAAAGAUAUGGUUAAAGAGUUAUAUUAUAAUAUCUUAUUAUAAAUUAUAAUAUAGACAACAAUAUGAAUUAAUCAAGAACAAAAAUGAACAUUUUAUUUGAAAGAAAAAUAUAUGUUUGUAAGUUGACAGUGAUAUCUAGAAUUUAGUUUUUGCAAAUUUUAAUAACUCUAAAAAAUAAUACUUAUGAUAAUUUUUUAUAUUUUGAUUUUCAUGUUUGUCUAACACUCAUAUGUGAGAAAUCAAUAAUUUUAUUCUUUAUCAAUACUUUAUUUGUUUGUUUUAAUAUGAAUAAUGUAAUAGUGAUGUUUAUCAAUAAGAUUGAAAAGUGUUACAUGAUCUGUCAUAUUUCAAUAUCAAUAAAUAGUGGCAUACCUUUGAAGUUUGUGUAAUACCUAAUUUGACAUUAAAGACAUUUGUUUUAACUUUUAUUUGCUAUGAUUUCAAGAAAAUCAAAAAUAUUUAAUAGUUUUUGGAUUCUCUUUUAUUUUUAAAAUUUGAGCAAAUAUACUUAGUUGAAGUAAUUGUUGGCUUGUCAGAUUAUUUUAUUCAAAAUGAGUGUGAAAUUAUAUCCGAGUUAUUUUUCUCUUCUUUUUUUAUAAUUCAAAAAUUAUUUCAAGAAAAAUAAUAAUGUUAUAUAAGAUUUAAGCAAAUAAUAUAUAUCACAAUUAAAAAAUAGUUGUUAUGUUAAUAUGUUGUUGCUUUUGCCAAGGUUCGAACUCAUGACCACAACAAAAGAUGUACUUUGACCUUUUGAAAAACAAAGGUGAAUUUCUAAGUUGCCACAUAAGAAUGAAGAUGACGUGUAAAAUAUUGAGUAUGUGACAUAUGAUUUGUCGUGAUAUAACUUGCCGCUUUAGAUUUAAUAUAUUAUGUGAGCUAAGACUGGCAAAGAAGCGUUGAACGCAUUGCAGAAGGAGUUUCAAGGAAGCGAUAAGGUGUGUGUCAUUAAACUUCAAUCUAUAAGAAGAUAUUUUGAACUAUUGUAGAUGAAGGAGUUUGAGAUAGUUAAAAAUUACUAUUCUAAAGUUAAAGAAAUAAAUAAUCAAAUGAGAGUUGUUGGGAAGAAUAUUCAUGACAAGAAUUUUUUUGAGAAAAUUCUAAUUACUAUGCCCCCAAAGUUUGACCCAAUCGUGGAAACGAUUGAGGAAAUCAAAGAUCUCUCCACUUUAUCAGUGACAAAACUAGUGGGCUCUUUUGAAGCAUAUGAGCAAAUAUUGCAUAGGCAUAAAGAAGAUACACUUGAAAAUUCCUUACACCUUGAGUUUGAAUACCAAAAUAAAGAAAAUAGAGGAAAGAAAAAUUAUGGAGAAACAUCCAGAGAAGAGAAGUUUUUACAUGCGAAUAAGCCAGAUAAAAACACUUCAUGUAAUAUAUGCAAAAGACUAGGCCACGCAGAGGAAAAUUGUUGGUACCGUAAUAUGCAAAAUAUGCCACAUCUUCAUCUCCAUGCAACCAUCAUUUUCGAUAAGCUCCCACAUGCCAUCAAAUAACAGUCUGAUCUUAUCCACUUACACUUCAUUCGACAACUUCGAAAAUAUUUUGGGUACUUUGAAUUUCACUAAGUCCCAAAAAUAAUAAACUCCCUAGUCUCUGACUGAUUGCAAUUCGACCAAAGUUGAUACUGCUUCUCGACAAACUAAAUUCGUAUUGAUCUCCAUGGUCGUAACUGGCCACUUAAGUUUUUGACAAUAAACUCCUUAUCACAUGAAACUUAUCAUAUUUUCAUAAUUAAUGCUCGAAAAUGUGAGGUAACAGCAUCACAUUUUAAUUUUUUUAAAAUAUCAUAUAUUCCCUCAGUUGAGCAGGAAACCGAGGGGUAAAGUAGCGUAUUUUUUAAUAAAUUAUUUAUGACCAAUUUGAUGGAAAAAAAUCAAAUAACGAAUCUUUAUCGUUCAUUUAUAAAGUAACAAUGGUCAAGACAUUGUCAAAUCAUCAAUCCACAUGAAACAUUAGUGAUAUGCGUGAAACUCUCACUAGCCAAUUAAAACGUGAAUGCCACAACUAUCUAUCUUGGAUGCAAAGUGCUGAAAUAUAACAAUGGUCAAGACAUUGUCAAAUCAUCAAUCCACAUGAAACAUUAGUGAUAUGCGUGAAACUCUCACUAGCCAAUUAAAACGUGAAUGCCACAACUAUCUAUCUUGGAUGCAAAGUGCUGAAAUUUAAACUUAAGAUGUUGAAAUUAAUGAUAAUGAAAGCAUGAGUAUAAAAAUAUUUCAAGGUUGGUUUCUUAAUGUAAUCUUUUCUCGAGUAAUUCCUUGUUAAAAAUGUUUAAUGUUAGUUAAGAAAGCAUGAAAUGAGCUUACUAAUCUUAGUUGUAGUUGUAACAAGUAAAAUGUUUAAUAUUGUUGGUGUUGUUAUUGAAAUUUAGUAGUUAACGAUUCUAAAAUGUUUAAUAUUGUUGUUGUUGUUGUUGAAAUUUAGUAGUUAACGAUUCUAUUAAUUUUGUUUAUUUGUUUUUCUUUUGUUGUUGUUGUUUUUGAGAUUUAAUGUUUAAAUAUUCCACGAACUUUGUUGUUGUUGUUGUUGUUGUUGUUGUUUUUGUUGUUGUUUUUGUUGUUGAGAUUUGAUAUUUAAAAAUUCUAUUGAUUUUGUGUUUGUUGUUGUUAUUGGUGUUAAUGUUGUUGAUAAUGAGGAAGGUUUAGAAUUUGCCAACAAAUUUGAUGCUUUGCAGAUUAAAACGAAAAAAAAAUCAAGUUAUAACUAAAAUUUUAUAAACAGGACUUUACCCCUCGGUUAUUGUUAAAAAUCGAGGUAAAAAGUAGCACUGUUUUAAAAAUCUAAAAAAUGUAGUUGUAAGGCAUCGAACUUGUUACCAGUGCCACUUUUCCCUUCGUUUAUUAAAAAACUGAGGAAUAAAGUUGCAGGUUUUCAUGUCGCUUUUCAUUACCUCAUAUGUGUAGUCAAGGUUAUAUACCCUUCGCAACCGAGAUGAAUGUGGUUAUUUGUAGUAGGGAUGUGUGGGAGAGUACCAAUUUUUUCCUUCUAUUGGCAAAAUUUUAACAUGUAGCCAAUAAUAAAUCGUAGCUCAAAUUUGAGUAUAAACUAGAUAAAAACCCAUGCGAUGUGUGAGUGUGAAUUAACUUUUAUUUGAUUAAUAUUGAAUUUAAAUUAUAUUAUUUUUUUAAAAAAAAUAUGGUUGGAGAUUUAUAUUAUAACAUCUUAUUAUGAAAUAUAAUAUAGACAACAAUACAAAUUAAUCAAUAAUAAAAAUGAAUAUUUUACUUGAAAGAAAAAAUAUAUGUUUGUAAUUUGACUGUUAUAUCUAGAAUUUAGUUUUUGGAAAUUUUAAUAAUUCUAAAAGAUAUUACUUGUGAUCAUUCUAAAAUGUUUAAUAUUGUUGUUGUUGUUGUUGUUGAAAUUUAGUAGUUAACGAUUCUAUUGAUUUUGUUUAUUUGUUGUUUUUGUUAUUGUUGUGGUUGUUGUUGUUGUUUUUGAGAUUUAAUGUUUAAAUAUUCCAUGAACUUUGUUGCUGUAUUUGUUGUUGAGAUUUAAUAUUUAAAGAUUCUAUUGAUUUUGUGUUUGUUGUUGUUAUUGGUGUUAAUGUUGUUGAUAAUGAGGAAGAUUUAGAAUUUGCCAACAAACUUGAUGCUUUGCAGAUUAAAACGAAAAAAAAUCAAGUUAAAACAAAAAUUUUGUAAACAGGACUUUACCCCAUAUUUCCUUAAACACCUAAAUUUCUAUUAAUUGAGGUCAACUGAGUUCCUAUGUGCUCUAAGAGUUGCCAAUUGGGAUAAAUAGAGCAAAUAGUGAGUCCAGGUUGACUUAAUUAAUAUUAUUUGGAACUGACCUUUUAUUAAUUGGGACAUUUUGGUAACACUAAUAAUGGGUCAAUAGCUCUGGUAGAACAAAUAUUAUGAGUUUGGUGCCACUUGGGAUAUUUGUUGCUACUAGAAACCACUUACUAACCACAUGUUUCUAUUAGCCACUUGCAUUUGGUCUUUGAAUAACUCAUCACCACAUUUUCUACCUACCAUAAGCCACUUCAUUUGUUCUAUGUAUCAGAAAGUAUAGAAAGAUAGAGGAAUCUCAAGAGAAGAAGGGAAAGCAAGGCUAGUGGAGAAGAAGAAGAAGAAGGAAAACUUGAAACCAACACCAUCAUCUUCAUCCUCAUCUCAUCUUCAACAACUUCUCCUCUUCAAUUUCUUGAGGUGGGUUCUAGUUAGAAACUCUAGGUUUCUAGAAAGGUUAGGGUUGUAGAAUGUUAGACAAAUCAUGAUAAUCCAUGCUAUAUAAUGAAUAUGUUCUUGCUCUUAUUGACUUCCAUGAACAUGUGCUUUGUUGUGUUCUUAUAUUGGUUACGAUAACAUGAUUUGUUAUGGUUGUGGUGGAAUAAUAGACUUCCAUGAACAUGUGCUUUGUUGUGUUCUUAUAUUGGUUACGAUAACAUGAUUUGUUAUGGUUGUGGUGGAAUAAUUGGUUGUGAUUAUGACCUUGAAAAUCCUUGUGGUUGUGAGCUUGAAAUCCUUGAUUUAUAUGUGUAUGAGAACAUUUAAUAUGAUGGGUUGUUGUUGGAAGAAGUAGUGGUUGUCAUACCCCGAUUUUGGCCCUGAAAAUUUUUCCCCAUCAAUCACUCGUUUGCAUUCUUUCUUCAUUCACCUUCAUAUCCUUCAUUCAUGUUCAUGUUUACUAUUUCAUAUUUUCUAUGUUUUUCACAUUCCAAAUUUACAUUCAUAUUUUCUUCAUUCACAUUGAAAAAAUUCCAUUCAUAUUCAAGAAUUUCCACAUACUCAUUCAUAGUUCGAUUCCUUCGUUCAUUCAUUCAAUCAUAAUCAUCUAUGUACAUCGCAUAUGAAUAACUUAUAAAAAAAACAUCUCAUCACAUGAAUACAUGAAGUGUUUAGUAAUAUCAUACAGGAUUAUAUAUGUGCGGUUACCGUCUCCAUAAACCCCAACAUCUGAUAUAUCAUCUCACAGUUUUUGUUAAUCGCUAUGUCUGUUGAUUCGCUAAACGACGUCGCUUCGUGCUCCCCGAAGAUGGAAAAGUUCCUCUGUGAAUUUCUGUUGGACUCCACUCAACCCAUCUCUGAACGCUUCAGAGCCCUAUUCUCUCUUCGGAACCUCAAAGGCCCCGCUCCUCGCACCUCCCUUAUUCUCGCAACUAGAGAUUCAUCCAAUUUGUUAGCACAUGAAGCUGCGUUUGCAUUAGGUCAAAUGCAAGAACUGGAAGCCAUUCUUACAUUGACCUCGGUUCUUAAUGAUCUUUCUUUGCAUCCCAUUGUUCGCCAUGAGGCAGCGGAAGCAUUUGGCGCUAUUGGAUCAGAUAGUAAUGUUUCUCUUUUGAAGCGAAGUUUGGAUUCUGAUCCGGCUCAAGAGGUUCGAGAGACGUGUGAAUUGGCUCUUCAACGUAUUCUAAAUUUAAAAGAUCUUGCUGCUGCGGAUGAUUCGACUGCACCGGGUAUUUCUCCAUUUAUGUCUGUUGAUCCUGCAGCACCGGCCACGUCUUGUUCUUCGGUGGACCAAUUAAGGGAGUUACUUCUUGAUGAGGAAAAAGGGAUGUAUGAGCGAUAUGCAGCUCUUUUUGCACUUCGAAAUGACGGUGGAAACAAAGCCGUUGCUGCUAUUAUUGAUUCCUUGGGUUCCAAGAGUGCUUUACUAAAACAUGAGGUUGCAUAUGUUUUGGGCCAAUUGCAAGACAAAGCCGCUUCGGCUGCUCUAUCCAAUAUACUUCGAGAUGUGAAUGAGCAUCCAAUGGUUAAGCAUGAGGCUGCCGAAGCUCUUGGUUCAAUUGCAGAUGACCAAAGUGUAGCUCUUCUUGAGGAGUUUACGGCAGACCCGGAAGCUCUUGUCUCACAAAGUUGUCAAGUUGCUCUAAGCAUGCUAGAAGCUGAAAGAUCAGGGAAAUCUUUUGAGUUCUUGUUCAUGCGCAAUGCAACUGUGGUGUAAAUAUUUUCUUAUGUUUACACAUUCCAAUAAUGUUAAGAAAUGAAGAAUCUGCAUGAGAAUGAAGGGAGAAGGAUAAGUCAAGUGAGAAAGAUAUUAGUGAUAGUCAACCCGUUGAGGAACAGAAGUCUUGUAGUCCCACUAUUGAUCUAAAAGAAUCUCCACACCUUGAGCCACAACCACCUCCUGAUGAGUUGCUUUCAAUGGAAGAAGAUAUGGACAUUUGUGAUACCCCUCCUCAUGUCCCUGUGGUGACAGAUUUGUCAUCAGGAAAAUGGUUUUACCUUGAUUACGGAGGUGUAGAAAAUGGGCCUGCCAAAUUGUGUGACAUUAAGUUCCUUGUUAAUGAAGGGGUACUAAUGUCAGAUCACUUUAUCAAGCACUUGGAUAGUGACAGAUGGCUAAUAGUUGAAAAUGCGGUGUCGCCAUUGGCUGCUCAGAGUUUCCCGUCCAUUGUGUCAGAUACAAUAACUCAGCAUGUCCUCCUGCAGCAUCAAACGCAACGAGUUUUGCGUAAAUUCACCAAGUUUCGAUGUACUAAGAUGGCAUGAACAAAGAAGAAAAAGCUUACCGUAAGUGAAUGUCGGCGUUGUCACUACAGCAAACACAACUGUGGCCCUGCAAGAAUUAAACGAAAUCACAAUGCCCACUAUCAAAACCAGAUCAACAAGAAUCAGCACUUGGAAAGGAAGAAGAGCAAGAACAAGAUCAUUCAUUCAGUGUGAAGAUUUUUCUCUAGCAUGGUGGUUCUGUUUGGGAUGCAUGCUUCAGUUGUGCUUCAAAUCAAGUAGCUUAAGUUUGUUGACACUGCCAUUUUCUUUCUCUUAAUUUCGUAUGCUAUCUGGAAUCUUGAUUCAAAUAUUCCAUGGAAUUCUUGGAGGCUGGACUGCUUAUCUCAUCAGUGUCCUAUAUGUUGAGUACCGAACCGGAAAGGAAAAGGAAAAUGCUGCAGAGGAACACUGGCGGAAUUUAGCAGAAUAUAGGAAGUUUCUGAAAUCCUGUGAUUUUGUGAAGGUGAAUAGUCAUUGGCGAAAAAUCCAAGAUCGGCUAGAGGAUGAUGAUAGACACUUACUACUUGAAAAAAUUGACCGCUUGCUUGUUUACCAAGAUUAUAUUCGUGACUUGGAGAAGGAGGAAGAGGAACAGAAAAGGAUACAGAAGGAACGACUCCGUCGGGGUGAAAGGCAAAACCGUGAUGCAUUUCGCAAGUUGCUGGAAGAACAUAUUACUGAUAGAGUUCUUACUGCUAAAACACAAUGGCGAGAUUACUGCUUGAAGGUGAAAGAGUUGCCUCAAUAUCAAGCUGUUGCAUCAAAUACAUCUGGUUCUACCCCGAGAGAUUUAUAUGAGGAUGUCUUUGAAUAUCUUGAAAAGAAAUAUCAUUAGGCCAAGACGCACUCUUCUUGUUCGACCAAAUGAUUCCCUCGCAUGCCGAAACAAUGAUUCUGAAGCUAUCACUGUUGUUAAUCCUUCUCAAGAUGCAGAUGUUCACACCAAAGUUCCUCAAGGGGCCGAUGAUGAAAAGGCCAUUAAGUUGGAGAGUUUGUCUUCUUAUAUGAGUUCACUUGGAUUCACAUAAAUGGAAUAUGUUGAAGGCAACCAACAUGAAGCUUCAAUUGAUGAUUCAAAGCAAAUUAAAAUUCAAAAGGCUCGCCUGAAUUUAUAUCAUCAGUGAAGACAUUUUGUUUGCUCUUGGAACACUCUAUGUCAUUUGAAGGCUCUGUUGAGUUGCAUGUCACUUCUUCCAAAGCAUUGCUUAUAAUUGGAUCGCAUAUGCCAGAGGUGGUAGCAUCACAUUAUGCUCUCAAAGUUUCAUGGCUUAAGCAACUACUACUGAAUCAGGUAGAUUGGGACACUCGGGAAUCCAUUGCAUGUUUACUUGGAAUCGUGUCUUCUGCUCUUCCUCUGCCAGCUGUUACGGAAAAACCUAGCAAACAAAUUGAUGAACAAAUGUAGAACCACCAAACCAGAGUCUUGAGAAUACUACCCAUGUAUUUGUUGCACCUGACCGGCCAACUGUGAUUUAUAGUAGUAACAAAAAGUUACUCUAUAGUAAUGUAAAUCUGAAGGAAGUGAGUCACAUGUGCCCUUUCAACUCUGCUGCUUUUCCAGACAGUUUAGCAAUCGCAAAGGAAGAGGAAAAUGAGCCAACCAAGGGAAGGAUUCUUGUGUUUUCAGUUGAAGAGGGAAAGCUACAACUAAUUGCCGAAAAAGAAACAAAAGGAGAUGUUUACUGCUUGAAUGCGUUUAAUGGUAAAUUGCUUGCUGCUAUUAAUCAAAAGAUUCAGCUGUACAAGUGGGUGCUCCGGGAAGAUGGCACUCACGAAUUACAGUCUGAAUGCGGACACCAUGGGCACAUACUGGCUUUAUAUGUGCAAACCAGAGGAGAUUUUAUCGUAGUUGUUGAUCUGAUAAAGUGUCUAUAGUGCAUUGCUGGAAAUGUUUCUUUGCCCGUUAUUUCCAUAAUUGGUGCAAGAACAAUGCAUUAUAUGGCUUGCUCGUUGAUUCCUCUACUGUUGCUGUUGGUUUAAUCAGGAAAAAAUCAGUUUCACUUUUCGGUCUCUGGAAGAUAUUGAGCGGAUUGUAGAGAUUCAGAGGAAAUUAGCGAGCUCACAGGCAUUGUGGAUUUGUUUGAUGAUGAUAUUAAGUGUGAAAUUCUGAUCGAAUUGCUCAAGUGUGUCACGAGUUUCAGCCAACUGUUGGGCAAAACUGCCUCUUCUAUAUUUUAUGAAUCACUUUUAAUUGCACUGAUGAUCUCUUAUGAAGAUAUUGUUCAUUGUAUAGUGAAGGUUCUUGAAACUGGUUAUUGUAUAUCAGGUGCAGUGCUCCGAAGAUCUACAUCUGGGGAUCAUACAAUAUUCCUGCAAAAGGAACUAACAGAUCAUAGAAGUUUGAGAAAACUCUAAAAACUCUCUGUUGACAUGUUUUUGUCUCUUCAAGGCCCGUACAAAAAGCGUCUACAUGGGACAAGAUUUUAAAUGUAAUUGAGGGUUUACUAAAAUUUCUGGUUCCGCAGAAAGAAAUGCUUAAGUCUGAUACUGAAAUGUCAUCAAACAUAAAUUCCUCAAUCAUGGUACAUUCUUCAUAUCAUAUUGCAAAAGUGAUGUUUGAACCUGCCUGGGACUUUCUCCUGUUUUUAAGCUAUUUGGUGGACAUCAGCAGUCGGGUCCACUUGUCACCCGACGAUAUAACCAAAAUACAACUUGAGUUAGUUCCGAUGCUUCAAGAAAUUAUUUUUGAGUGGUUGGUCAUCAUCUUUUUGCCAUCACACCGGUUGCACUAGCUAUUACAGAGGACUUCCAUUCAAAACUUUCAUCAUUGCAAAUAGAUAAUAACACAGGGAAACCCAAUAUUAGGAGUCCAUAUCUUCUUAUAUUCGAAGGAUGUAUCUGAGAUAAAAUGUUUGCAAGGUUCGGCUCAUGGUCCACGACAAGAAGCAGCUCUAUGUCAUGCUGUAACAGAUGCGGACGGAAAGUUCUCAUUCAAUUCAAUACCUUGUGGAAGUUAUGAACCAGUUCCCUACUACAAGGGUAACUGGAUUUUCUGUUGGAGGCCGUGUAGUUGUUGGAAAUGACAUGGGAGUGGAGGGUGUUAUGGUCAUAGUUGAUGGUCAUGAAAGGUCUAUUACUGACAAUCAAGGAUAUUACAAGCUUGACCAAGUUACAUCAACACACUAUACCAUAGAAGCCCGAAACAAGCAUUACAAAUUCAAGAAGUUAGAGAAUUAUAUGGUAUUGCCAAAUAUGGUUUCAAUAGAAGACAUUGUUGCUGUUUCAUAUGAUAUUUGUGGUUUGGUUGGGAUGGUUAGUAGCAGUCAGAAAGCAACGGUGGCUUUGACUCAUGGACCUGAUAAUGUGAAGCCGCAAAAGAAACAAACUGAUGGAAAUGGAAAUUUCUGCUUUGAGGUUAUUCUUGGCUCUGGUUAAUGUCCGCGGUGCUGUGGUCUGCAAGGAAGAAUGCGAUCCAUCUGUAUAUGUGACUAUUGUGAGGCAGGGUGCUAAACAUAAUGAAACUAGGAAGACAAUUAGCUUGACCUCCGAUAGUAGUGAAUUUCUGUUUUCUGAUGUUAUUCCUGGAAAAUACAGACUUGAGGUGAAACACAGGUCCUCUGAAUCGCCGCACCUUCACCGCCAUUUUAAUCCAUGAUUCAAACAACACAAACACCCAAAAUUAGUUAAUUCCAGAACAAAUCUUUCAAUUAAAUGAGUUACAAAGGUGAAGUUUUUUUCUUACCCACAGUGAAGUUUUGGAAAUGAAGAGAAUUGAGGGAGGGACCACAAAGUUGAAUAUGGACAAAAACUUCCCAACCUCCAUACAGACACUUCCCACUACACUGAGACUACACAGCAGGAAACACAGCAGAGGAAAGAGAUUAAUGGCAUAUAAAAGGAGGAUCACGGUUCACAAAAAAACCUAGAGAGGAUUGGCGGCUACCAUUAAGAAAAGAAAAGGAGAGAAUUGAAGGCAACGCUUGUCUACAUUCACCUGUCGAGCUCGCCGCAACCGGUUAGCUUCCUUUCCGAGUUUUAUUUCUAUGUUUUGAUUCUUCUUUGCAUCCUUUCCAAGGAAACCAUGGUUGUUUUCUGAUUCGGUUUCAUCGAAGCCUCCAUGUUUGAUUUAAAAAUACCGUUGCCAUGUUUGUUUGUGAUGUUAUCUUGCUGUUAAAAUUGAUGUUUCAAAAUGGAAAGAAAAAUAUCGUUGGAUGAAGUUGAAAAUGUUUAUAAGAACCUGCUACUGUUUUUUAACUUUGUGCUUUAUUUAAGAGUUUGGUUCAUUUUUAUCUUAUGUAUUAGUGCUUGAGUUCAUACAACAAGGAUGCUUGUAUGGCUGAGUUGGUAAAGGGAUGCUUUGGCAAGCCUUUGGUCUUGGGUUUGAUACCCUUGUGCUUCAUUUGGUUUUAGUUUUUUCACUUUAUUCAAUUUUUAAUCUUUGAUUGAUUUAGGAUUUAUUUUAUUAUUAAUCAUUUGUUUUAUUUUAUUCUCACUUUUCAACUUUAGUUUUUAUUCUCUCGCCGUUAUUUUAUUUUUAUUUGUUAAACAUCGAUUUUAAUUUAUGGAUUCAACAAUUUCCAUGAUAGUUUUUAUUCUCUCGCCGUUAUUUUAUUUUUAUUUGUUAAACAUCGAUUUUAAUUUAUGGAUUCAACAAUUUCCAUGUUGUUUAUCCAUGAUUAUUUUUAUCGAUACAUCGAUAGUAUUUCGCCGAGUUUUGAUUAAUCACAUAUGACAUUUCAAUUAUUGUCAAUAUGAGCAAACCGGCUUUGAGCACAUUAUCUAGGUUUCUUGUUUGCUUUUUUUUCAAUUUCCAUCUGCCUUGCACGUCAUUGCGUUAUGCGACUUUGAUUCGCAUCAUCGCAUCCCGAUUUUUAUCCGUGCACGUCCCGAUGUUGUUUCGUUCAAUUUAAUUUUUAAGUGUUUUGUAAAUAUAAUUUUGUAUUUGUUGUUUUCUUCACAUGGCUUAUUCUUGGGCCUUCUUACAAUGAGCCAGUUCUCUUGCACUUACACUCAUACAUUGCAUUAUUUGUUGUUUGGACCCGAUUUAAUUAUUCAAGUACUUUGAAUCCCCAUAUGACAAAAUGUAUCCCCACUCCCAUGGCAUGUAAUAAUUUUAUCGCUUUUUAUUUCUUUGUUAUUGCUUGACUGUUUAGUUAGCUACUAACACAAGAAUAAAAUCAACCAUUUCCAAAAUAUCAAAAAAUAAGACUCGAUCCAACGUCGAGUAUUUUCUCAAUAAACAAAUCAAUCCAUUUCUUCUUCCCAUUCUAUUUCAUUUCUUUCAAACUCUCAUCAAACACUUGAUCCAACGUCAAGCCAUUUCUCAUAAUAAAAACUCAAAAAAUAUUAAUUCCUAUCUAAACACUUUUCAAUAAAGAUGGAAAUGGAACGCGGUGUAUACCGCGCACUCCUGAGACUAGGAUUCGAGAUGGAUAUCUCACCGAUCCUAGCUUUCGCCAUCAUCCAAAUUUAUCUAUUCUGUUUCUCUCAAACACUCAUUCAAAUCUUUCUCAAUCGCUCAUCAAAUGCUUGAUCUAAUGUUAAGUCAUUUUCAUAACAAAAACUCAAAAUACUUAAUUCCUAUCUAAACACUUUUCAAUAAAGAUAGAAAUGGAACGUGGUGUAUACCACGCACUCCUGAGACUAAGAUUCGAGGCGGAUGCCUCACCUAUCUUAGCUCUCGCCAUCAUUUAAAAUUGUCAAUGCGGUUUCUUUAAACCCUUUCUCAAUCAAACCUCAAAAAAACACUUAAUGCUUAUUAAACAUUUUUGCAAAUAAGAUGGAAAUGGAACGUGGUGUAUACCACGUACUCCUGAGACUAGGAUUCAAGAUGGAUAUCUCGCUCAUCCAAGUUCUCGCCAUUACUCAAAACACAUCAAACCAAUCAAUUUCUUUUUCUCGCCGCCGUGUGAUUAACCCUUCAAACCUUUUCUCAAACGAAAGAUACUUUGUUUCAAAACAAUGCAAGGCAAUGUUUUUCCACCUGUUUUGGGUAGUCCAACAAUGCUUCCGUCGAUUUGAUACAAAGUAGCUUUCGCUAAAAUCGACCAACAAACAAACAUUUUUCUACCCAGAACUACGUAAGCCUUGACUUCUCUAUUGAGAUACGUAGGAGCAGGAUUUGUAAAUCUUGUCAGACCCACUAAUAAAAAACUAUUUCUACCCAGAACUACGUAAGCCUUGACUUCUCUAUUGAGAUACGUAGGAGCAGGAUUUGUAAAUCUUGUCAGACCCACUAAUAAAAAACUUAGGUUUAGUCCUUCGUCAAAAAUCCAAAAACAUUCUUACUCUCAUCCUUUCUUUAUUUCUCACUUAAUAAAUUAAAGCCUAACAUUUCAACUAACACUAAUGCACACAACUGACCUAAUGGUUCCCGUUGAGUACAACGGACGUGAGGGGUGCUAAUACAUUCCCCUUGCGUAAUCGACUCCCGAACCCCGAUUUGGUUGUGACGACCAUAAUCAUUGUCGUUUCUUUCUUGGGUUUUAUCGAUAUUUCCCCUUUUCUUUUUAGGAAUAAAUAAAGUUCGGUGGCGACUCUGUUCAGUCCAUCAUGGUGAGCGUGCGAUUGCGCUUCGCUUAAAGUCGUGUCACUCAUUUUUCUUUGAGGUACGACAGUGGUAAUUUGUAGAAAUGGUAGAACAGAGGAAAAUGGUGUCUGUGAAGUGAAAUGAGAAAAUGCGAGUGGAUCAAUCGAUUGGCCUCUGUCAACCAAUCGAUUGACAGCCUUUGGUUUAGCAGAAAAAUGAAAUUUUUACAGGACCAAUCGAUUGACACUGCAUGUCAAUCGAUUUCACAAACUUGAUGUAUAUGAACAGUGGAAAUUUUUAACAUGACCAAUCGAUUGACACUCAGGAUCAAUCGAUUGACACUCAACAAAUUUUGAAAAAACAGAAAUGUUAGAGGAAUCAAUCAAUUGGGCUUCCCCAACCAAUCGAUUGACUCAAGUUAAAAACUUCAAAAUCCAUUUCUUAAGUGUUUUUAAAUGCAUUCUUCCAACCAUUAAUCAAUUGUGAUGCCAUGUUAAGUUGAAAACAUGUAAAUAGUGAGAAUUACAUGAUGAAUAUAGUAAGUUAACCUAGGAUUGGUAUUAGGUCUUGAGUGAGGUUUAUGACUUAGAUAACAUUGAAUGACGGUAUUCAUUCGUACGGCGCUUAUGUGGAGGUCGUGUACGAAUUGUUGCCAUGAUUGAGAAUGAGACACAUUGUAUGGAACAUGCUAUGUUAUAUUUGUGUAUUGUGGUGAAUGAAGUCACCUAUGUUUGAUGAAUUUUGUUAUGGUUCGUGGAACCGAUGAUUGUAGAACCGAUCAUGUAUUCGGAAUGUGUUUUUUAUGUGACGGUGCACAUCUCUAUUGGUAUGCUUAUAUGUGUAAGCAUUGGGAUGUGGGACCAAUGAUUCGAGCCUCAAUUGGGUUUGAGCCCCAACCAUGGUAGACAUGGGGGAAAGGUGGACACCUAGGUGACAUGGAGGAAAUGUGGACACCUAGGUGGGUUGGAGUCCCAUACGGUGAAAGAUACCCUAGGUGGGUUAGAGUCCCAUAGGGUGACGGUCGCUGGAACUGGGGAUUAAGCCUCAUAGAAGACUCAAUACCCACCACGAAAGUCGAACCAAACGAGCAUGCAUGAACCGGGCCUGGCUUAGACUUAAGCCCGUUCGGGAAUUGAUGCGUCAUGAUCUGAAUACUGAUUGUGGUUGAGUUACGUGAACUCAGAUGCAUGUUGCCAUAUAAUUGCGAGUUAGUUCCCCAUCGCUCAAGUCUUCGUUCCCUUGUUGACUUGAGUUGGAUAUGAGUUGAAUAUUAAUUAGAAAUCCCUGUAGAGUCGAGUGGACCCAUAAGAUAGGGAACCCAUUGAGAUUAUUAUCUCACCCCAUGUUGUUGAUUAUUUUUUUCAGGUGGUUCUGAGCAGGAUAAGGGUAAGGGAAAGAUAGAGUGAUGUCUUGCUUACCUGAGGACUGGUGGCUUUUCUUCUGCUGUGUAGAUAUUUUUGAGAUCAUUGUCUAAUGAUCUAGAUCAGUAGUUUUAUUUUGGGCACUCUUAUGUACAUUUAUGGCAUAUUAUGUUAUUUUGGGCAUGUAUUUGUAUAUGUACACUGUGCUGCUAGGCACUUAUGUAUUUCAGUACUAGUAUUACACUUUGUAUAAUAUGUAUUCUAGACAUAUAUUAUAUGUGGGUGUUACAGUUGGUAUCAGAGCAGGUCGUAUCCACGACCUAGCCAUGAAAUAUUAGAAGUAUUCCUUUCUGCCUCAUAUGUGGGUUGUCAUCAUUGCCCUUGGUGUUAUAUUCAUAGUAUUGAGCCUGAUCAACUUAAUCCUAUUUGUAUGACAUUCAGGAUCAUGGUUGACAGACGCAGAGGUCGUGGUAGACCCAGAACCUAGAAUUCGGACUCUAAACCGCCAAGUGGUUGUGAAGGUUUUCAAUGGCCUCAGUUUAUGCAACAGAUGCAACAACAAGAGAAUCAAUUCAUGCAACAUAUGAUGCAGUAGUGGAAUGGUGGUUUGCAUCCUCAAGGAGUUCCACAGGUAGUUGCAGGUGGUAGUUUCCGAGAUUUCUUUCGCAUGAAUCCUCCGGAAUUCCAUGGUCGGUUGAAUCCUGUGAAGGCUCGGGAGUGGAUAAGCGGCAUGGAAAGGAUUUUUCGGAUAGUGCAUUGUAGUGAAGAAAAUAAGGUUGUGUUUGCUUCUCACAUGAUGAAGGGUCCAGCUGUGAGAUUGUGGGAGAGUGCUUCGACUCUUAUGACCAAUCAAGGAAUACCUAGAGAUUGGGAGCAUUUUAAGACUAUUUUCCUGGAUAAGUAUUUUCCUAGUUCUUUGAGGACUCAGAAAGAGUUUGAAUUUCAACCGCUCAGGCAGGGAACUAUGUCAGUAGAUGCGUAUGCUGAAAAGUUCAAAGAUAUGGCUGCAUAUUCUAAACAAGCCGCAUACGCACCUGAUGAGAGGUGGAAGAUUGAUCAGUUUCUUUUUGGUCUGAGGGGUGAAAUUUCUCAUAGUGUUUCUCAAAGGGAAUUCACUUCUUAUGCUGAACUGUUAAGACCAAUGUUAUGUGGCUGAGAACAGUUUGAAGAAAGUUCAAGAAGAAACGGAUCAAUUCAGGAGUGGCAGAGAAACCAAGGAAGGUCGGGAAGCCAAUUCAGGCCUAGAUCACGGGCUUUCAAGGGAAACAGGUGCAACAUGCAAGACCUAACCAACCUCCUCAAUGUAAGCAUGUAAGAAGUAUCAUUUUGGAAGAUGUGCUGUAAGUGGAAUUAGGUGUUUUACUUGUCAGAGAGAGGGGCACAUGUUUAGGGAAUGCCCUCAGAAUAAGAAUCAGAUGCAGGGGAGGAGUACCGGUCGAGUUUAUACCUUGGAUGCAAGGAAGUCUAAGAGCAACAAUGCCUUAAUUGCUGGUACGUGUCUCGUCAAUAAUCAUCCUUGUUUUGUAUUAUUUGAUUGUGGGGCGACACACUCUUUUGUAUCAAUUCGGUGCAUGAAGCGUCUUGGCUUGCAAGCAAUUCCCUUGUCUCCUCCUAUGGUGAUUACUACCGCCAAGGAUGAUGUGGUUGAGACACUGUUGAUUUGUGAAAAUUGUUCGCUCUCGGUGAAUGGUAGAAUUUUUCAGAUUUAUCUUAUUUGUUUACCAUUUAAGAAGGUUGAUAUGGUUUUAGGGAUGGAUUGGCUUUCCGCCAACUCGGUGUUUAUUGGUUGUGAAGAGAAGUUGAUUAUCAUUCCAUCUAGUGAAUCUACUCCAAAGGAUGUGUUAACUACAAUCUUGGAAGGUACGGCUGGCAUGGUUAAUUUCUUAUUUGAGAAUGAAAAGUCAGUUCUCUUGGUUCUUAGCAAGGAAUCUAGCGAUAAUUUGAGUGUUACACAAAUCCCUGUUGUUUGUGAAUUUCCGAAAGUUUUCCUGAGGAUGUCUCCUCUCUUCCUCCUGAAAGGGAAGUGGAAUUCUCUAUUGAUCUGAUACCUGGGACGGCUCCAAUCUCCGUCUCUCCGUAUCGCAUGGCGCCACUAGAGUUGAGAGAGUUGAAGAAUCAAUUGGAAGAGUUGUUGACCAAGCAUUUCAUCUGACGUAGUGUCUCACCAUGGGGAGCUCCAGUGUGUUUAGUAAAGAAGAAGGACGAUAGUAUGCGGUUGUGUAUUGAUUAUCUCCAGUUGAAUAAAGUUACCAUGAAGAACAAGUAUCCUCUGCCAAGGAUAGACGAUUUGUUAGAUUAGUUGAAAGGAGCCUGCGUGUUCUCGAAGAUUGAUCUACGAUCGUGCUAUCAUCAAAUAAGAGUUAAGAGUUCGGAUGUACCAAAGACCGCAUUAAGAACCUGAUAUGGCCAUUAUGCAUUCCUUGUAAUGCCGUUUGGUGUAACGAAUCCCCCAGUUGUUUUCAUGGAUUAUAUGAAUCGGAUAUUCCAACCCUACUUGGACCAGUUUGUGGUGAUAUUUAUUGAUGACAUUCUUAUUUAUUCUAGUGCUUCUCAAGAGCACGGAGGAGUAUCGGUGGAUCCAUCUAAAGUUGAAGCAGUUAUUAAUUGGGAAAGACCGAAGAAUGCUUUCGAAGUAAGAAGUUUCUUAGGUUUAACAGGUUACUAUCGAAGGUUUAUAAAGGGAUUUUCGCAGAUAGCGUUACCAAUGACUAGACUUACCCGAAAAGAAAUUUCUUUCAAAUGGGAUUCGAAGUGUGAGAAGACAAAAUACUCAAACUUCCUGAAGCUAACGACUGCUCCUAUUUUAGUCAUUCCUGAUCCUAGUAAGUCUUAUGAAGUAUUUUGUGAUGCCUCUAAGAAAGGAUUAGGAAGCAAUCGAUUGGUCCUGUAUAAAUUUCAUUUUUUAUGCUAAACCAAAGGCUGUCAAUCGAUUGGUAACAGGGGCCAAUCGAUUGGUUCACUCAUAUUUUCAUUUUUCCACUUCUCAGAACAUCAUUUUCCUCUUUAACUCCAUUUCCAAUCAAACCCACGCUCCUUCAUCCAACACAUCCAUCUCACUACAUGCUCAUAUACACAUGUACAACAAGAAUCCCAAGUUCAUAACUACAAGGAUUUAAACAUCAUAACAUAACCAUAACAAAUCAUAUUAUCAUACCAAUCAAUAAAACACAUCAAGGCACAUGUUCAUGGAAAUCAACAAGAGCAAGAACAUAUUCAUCUUAUAGCAUGGAUUUUCAUGAUUUGUCUAACAUUCUACAACCCUAACUUUUCUAGAAACCUAAAGUUUUCUAACUAGAACCCACCUCAAGAAAUUGAAGAGGAGAAGUUGUGGAAGAUGAAAUGAGGAUGAAGAUGAUGGUGCUGGUUCCAAGUUUUUUCCUUCUUCUUCUUCUCUUCUCCAUUAGCCUUGCUUUUCCUUCUUCUCUUAAGCUUCCUCUUUCUUUUUAUGCUUUCCUUUCUCUCUACUUAUCCUUUCUGAUACAUAGAAAACAAAUGGCAAGUGUGAAGUGGUAUAAGACACAAACAUGUGGUGGUGAGUGGGUCAAAGGUCAUAAACAAGUGGCCAUUAUGAUUUAUGUGGUUAGAAAGUGGUGGAGUGGUAGCAACAAAUAUCUCAAGUGGCACUAACUUGUAAUAUUUGUUCUACCGGAGCUAUUGACCCAUUAUUAGUGUUACCAAAAUAUCCCAAUUAAUAAAAGGUCAGUUCCAAAUAAUAUUAAUUAAGUCAACCUGAACUCACUAUUUGCUCUAUUUAUCCCAAUUGGCAACUUUUAGAGCACAUAGGAACUAAGUUGAUCUCAAUUAAUAGGAAUUUAGGCAUUUAAGGAAAUACAGGGUAUUACACAAAGUGUUGAAAUUUAAACUUAAGAUAUUGAAAAUAAUGAUAAUGAAAGCAUGAGUAUAAAAAUAUUUCAAGGUUGGUUUCUUAAUGUAAUCUUUUCUCGAGUAAUUCCUUGUUAAAAAUGUUUAAUCUUAGUUAAGAAAACAUGAAAUGAAGGACUUUGAUUUUUAGCUUAAGUAUCACUCGGGGAAGGCGAAUAAGGUUGCGGAUGCCUUAAGUCGGAAAGAGAUACAUAAAGUGGAGCUGAUGAUGUUAGAGUACGCAUUGUUGGAAAAGUUCCGAGAUCUCAAUCUUCAGUUUAGUUGGACGCAGGAUGGUGUGGUAAUGGGAAAUUUGAAUGUUACUUCUAACCUAAGUGAAGCGAUCCGACAAAUACAAAUUAUAGAUGAGAAAUUGCAAGAGAUGUCAACUCAACCGGGUUUCACUCAGUCACCAGAUAGAGCCAUUCUGUUUAAUCAAAGGAUUUGUGUUUCGGAUGAUGUAGAGCUGAAAAGGAAAGUUUUGGAGGAAGCUCACAAAGGGGCGUUUACUAUACAUCCAGGUUCAUCGAAGAUGUAUCAAGACUUGAAGAAGGACUAUUGGUGGCCUGAAAUGAAAAGGGAUAUCCCAGAGUAUGUGUUAGAAUGCAUUGUAUGCCAACAGGUAAAGAUUGAACAUCAGAAGCCAUGUGGUUUAUUGUGGCCUUUAGAGAUUCCGGUUUGGAAAUGGGAUAGUAUUUCAAUGGAUUUUGCGAUAGGGUUACCUCGGACCCAAGGUGGUUAUGAUUCAAUUUGGGUGAUUGUGGAUCAGUUGACUAAGUCCACACACUUCUUGGUCGUGAAGACUACUUACAAAGCAAGUUAUCUUGCACGGUUGUUCAUUUCAGAAAUGGUUAGGUUGCAUGCAGUUCCUACUAGCAUUGUGUCCGAUAGAGACCCGAAGUUUACUUCAAGGUUUUGGAGAGCAUUCCAACAAGCUAUGGGAUCUAGAUUGUGUUUGAGUAGCUCUAGUCAUCCUCAGACAGAUGGUUAGACUGAACGGACAAUACAGACACUAGAAGAUAUGUUAAGAGCCUGUGUACUUGAAAGUGGAGGGAAUUGGAAGGAGCUUUUACCAUUGAUUGAAUUCACAUAUAACAAUAGUUAUCAUGCAAGUAUUGGGAUGACUUCUUUUAAAUCUUUGUAUGGACAGAAAUGUAGAACACCUUUAUGUUGGACAGAAGUUGGCAAAGAAAGGAUCUUAGGACCGGAGAUUAUUCAAGAGACAACAGAAAAGAUAAGGAUGGUCCGUGAUAAGAUAAAGAAAGCACAAGAUCGCCAAAAGAUCUAUGCGGAUCACAGGAGAAGACCAUUGGAAUUUGAUGAAGGUGACCAUGUAUUUUUGAAGGUGACAUCGAGGUUGAGACUCAAAGGACCGUUUAAGUCACGGAAGCUAAGUCCGAGAUACAUAGGGCUAUACCAGAUUAUAGAGAGAAUUGGAGAAGUAGCCUACAAAUUAGCCUUACCACCUUUUCUAUCAGAAAUGCAUGAUGUUUUUCACAUAUCUCAACUCCGGAAGUUCAUCCCAGAUUCUCUUCAGCCUAUUCUUCCAGAUUUAGUAGAAGUAGAAGCAGAUCUGACUUUUGAACCUCUACCAAGUUGCAUUACAGAAUGAUAAGUUAAGGUGUUAAGGAAUAAGGAGAUUCCUCUUGUUAAGGUUCAGUGGGAUGAAUCACACCCAGGCGACGCCACCUAGGAACUAGAGUCAGAAAUGCGAGAAGCUUACCCUCAUCUCUUCCAGGUAAUAUUUAAAUUCGAGGAUGAAUUUUAUUUAAGGGGGAGGAUGUAAUACCCCGUUGAUCCGCUGUCGCACGCGGAUCAAAACGAGUAUUUUUGACAAAACGUAGUUAGCGACAAAAUGACUCGGAUUAUCGUUCUCACAAGGAUUCUUGAAUGAAUUAACCAAUGAUAGUAACGAUUAAUGGGGUUUUGGUUGGUUUAGGAUUCAAUUUUAAAAAAAUAGAUUAAAAUAAGUGAUUAAUGAAAUAAGUUGUAGCAACAAUUUACUGAUUCGGUCUUUGCCUAUCAUCGACUAUCGUAAUUCCAACCGCAGAUUAACUAUUCCUAUUCGAUUAUAAUAUCAAAUGACAAAUGCAAUUGAUAGUAUAAGUUGUAUGUUCCUAUUAUCCGAAUUAAGCAAACGGGAUUAAGUUUCAUGAAUUAAGCAAACAUGAAUUAAACAGAUUCGAUAACGAAUUAAGCAAACAAAAUCGUGACUAUAGUUAGGAUCACACAAUCAAUCGGAUUAAAUCAAUAUAGCAUAUGUAAAUCGGAUUAAGCAAAGAAAAUACAUAUAUUAAUAUUGAAAGGAAUAAAAAACCUGAAUAGAAAUUACUAAAAUCUCAAGGUAUCGGAACCUGAAUACAACAAAUUGUUUGGAUCAAUUAGUUCUUCAUGAGAAUUCUUGCCAAAGCUUUCAAGUCUUUCGUGAAUAGUGAUAAUCCUCAUAUUAUGCGGCUGCUAGAUAUAUGGAAAACAAGGAAUUUGGUUUACAACCCAACUGGAUCGAAAACAUAACCCAAGCCCAAAACUAAUGACCCAAAACUUAAAUAAAACUAAUGCUGCAACUUCCGUGAAUUUUCUGGCCCUGCUACAUUCUGAGUCAGCUCUCGACUUCUGAACAAAAGUUGUAGAUCUUUUUCUUAGCUUUCCAUCGACUGGUAACACGUCUCAAUCCGAUACUCCUAGCUCAAGAUAUGAUUUUUCUCACGAAAGUUGUUAAUGCUGAAAAUUAAAUACGAAAAUUAAAUAAGUGCAAAAACAACAUUAAUUAUGAAAACACAUUAAAACACAAAAAUAAUCAAAGCAAACCGAAGAAAUGCUUAAGUACAAACAUGGAAGAACGUGCAUCCAAAAUGCACUGAUCAAAUUUCCCCACACUUGAACUUUUGCACUCCGAGCAAAAUGAAAAACAAAACAAAACACAGACACAUCAACGGUUAGUCAUUCUAGGCUACAAGUCAUCUUUGAUUAAGUUUGCAUCGAUAGGUACUAAUCUUGCACACUAAGGAUAUCGUAGGAACACUAAUCCAUAAUUGUGCAGUCAUAAACCCCCUGAAUACACAAAUCAACUCGAAUCAUGUUAUUAUGUUAAAGCCUAACUUACUCAUCCUUCUUUUUGCUCUUUUUCAUUCAGGCGCAAUCACAUUAAGCCCGUUAUCUCCACACACCCAUAACAAGGUGACCGGUUAGUGACUCUGAUCCUUUUUACACGGGAUUCUAGUACCUACGUGGCAUAACCCUUUGCUUAUUCAGUUGUAGUUGUGAGAGAUUGGACCGUAAUCCGCCCUACCAAGUUCAAUACCAGAAACCGCUGAACCAACUGACAACUAGUCUUAUUUUCAAUUUUUUUGAAGGUUCUACAUCCGUUGGGUUAAGUGACAGGGUGAGGGUCACCAAACUUAGAAGGUGCAUUCCUUGUUUUUUUUUCGGAGCACUCACUUAUAUUCAUCGGCUUCCCUACGUAGAAUGCGUGUGAGAUGGUGCUGACUGCUGAAAUAAACUACUCAAGAGCUAUAAGAAAAAUGAGAACUCAAGGCUAUGUCAUAACAAGUAUUCAAAAUGAUUUUCAUAUUCAGGAGAUUUAAGGUGUUAAAAGAUGGUGCUGACUGCUGAAAUAAACUACUCAAGAGCUAUAAGAAAAAUGAGAACUCAAGGCUAUGUCAUAACAAGUAUUCAAAAUGAUUUUCAUAUUCAGGAGAUUUAAGGUGUUAAAACGAUACCGUUCUUGUGAACUUUUACCAAGUCUCUACAAGCCAACCUCAAAUUAUUCUAUAGCCUAAAACUUUCAACAAAAAUGCAAUUUUUUUUAGAAAGAAAACAAAAACAAAACAAAACAAAGAACAAAAACAAAUAAAAUAAAGUAUUCCCUCCCCCACACUUACAAUAUGCAUUGUCCUCAAUGAAAGAAACAAACAUAAAAUAAGAGAGAGAAGAGAGAGGAAAGAACACACCCGAGUAGUCAAGGAGGAUAGAUGAUCACAUAAGUAGCCUUUCGCAAAGAGAUAUAUUCUACAUUUUCUUCUUCCAAAGUGGGGCUGUCAUGGAAUAGCUUUGGGUAAUGUCCAUUGAACUUGAAUUUUUUAUUAGUAUCUUCGCCUUUUAUUCCAGGAUCAAAGAAUCUUCUAAAAGUAAAAGUGUCAAAUGGACACAUUUCAGCACAAACAGAGCAAAUUUUAGUUUCAGUACAAAUAUCACAAGAAUAAACAUCAUCAAAACCAGACAAUGAUGGAAAAUCAGAUGCAAACAAAUCACUACAAGUAUCAUCAACAAUUUCAAAUAUCAAAUCUAUUUGAAAAACAAAAUGUUCUUCCAAGUGUUGUUGGUUUGAUCCUUGAGCUUGCUGCAUGGCAUUCACCAAAGUGGCAAGCUGCCCAAUCUGUGUUUGCAAAGUCUUUAAAGUAGAAUCUACUUGUUGUUGAAACUGGAGAUUAUUUGCAGCCCUUUGUUUGACAAUAUCUUCUAGUGAAGGUCCAGAAGGUGCAGAGCAUACAACCUCAAAUUCCUUCAGAUGCUCAUGCGGAUCCUCACCUGCAAGACCACUAAACUUUGAAAACAAGUGUAUUAAACCAGAUUUCAAUUCAAAAGGAACCGAAACAUCAGAAUAUUCAAUACAAAAGUCAUUAUAAUUAACAUCAGGAGCAGCAAACUGCCUUAAUGUUCUUUGAUCAUCCAUGUUAAGAAUAAAUUCAGAAAGAAGAACUGAUUAAAAUAAAAGAGUCACAUACAAUAUAUAUCUUAUAUAUUAUAUAUAUCUCUAUGGAGCUCGAAAUAAAUUCUGUAGAAGUCAUUUUGGAUUUUUUCGACACUAUGAAAACAGUAAAAAAUUAAUUAAAAAUAGAAAAACAAGGAAUUGAUCGCACGAUUUUUCUGCUUCCAGUAGGCAAAAAACUUAUACAAUCAAACAUAAAUUUUCCAAAAACCGGUUUUUUCUGACUCAAGACGCAACUCCGAACGCGAAACUGUAGAAAAAUUCGGAAAAAUAACAGGAAAUUGCAGAACAACAAAACACACAAUACUUAAAACUAAAUUAUUGGCUAAUUCGACAAGAAUCCCCGGCAACGGCGCCAAUUUGAUCCGCUGUCGCACGCGGAUCAAAACGAGUAUUUUUGACAAAACGUAGUUAGCGACAAAUUGACUCGGAUUAUCGUUCUCACAAGGAUUCUUGAAUGAAUUAACCAAUGAUAGUAACGAUUAAUGCGGUUUUGGUUGGUUUAGGAUUCAAUUAAAAAAAAUAGAUUAAAAUAAGUGAUUAUUGAAAUAAGUUGUAGCAACAAUUUACUGAUUCGGUCUUUGCAUAUCAUCGACUAUCGUAAUUCCAACCGCAGAUUAACUAUUCCUAUUCGAUUAUAAUAUCAACUGACAAGCGCAAUUGAUAGUAUAAGUUGUAUGUUCCUAUUAUUCGAAUUAAGCAAACGGGAUUAAGUUUCAUGAAUUUAGCAAACAUGAAUUAAACGGACUCGAUAACGAAUUAAGCAAACGAAAUCGUGACUAUAGUUAGGAGCACACAAUCAAUCGGAUUAAAUCAAUAUAGCAUAUGUAAAUCGGAUUAAGCAAACAAAAUACAUAUAUUAAUAUUGAAAGCAAUAAAAAACCUGAAUAAGAAUUACUAAAAUCUCAAGGUAUCGGAACCCGAAUACAGCAAAUUAUUUGGAUCGAUUAGUUCUUCAUGAGAAUUCUUGCCAAAGCUUUUAAGUCUUUCGUGAAUAGUGAUAAUCCUCAUGUUAUGCGGCUGCUAGGUAUAUGGAAAACAAGGAAUUUGGUUUACAACCCAACUGGAUCGAAAACAUAACCCAAGCCCAAAACUAAUGACCCAAAACCUAAAUAAAACUAAUGCGGCAACUUCAACGAAUUUUCUGGCCCUGCUACAAUCUGAUUCAGCUCUCGACUUCUGAAUAAAAGUUGUAGAUCUUUUUCUUAGCUUUCCAUCGACUCGUAGCACGUCUCAAUCCUAUACUCCUAGCUCAAGAUAUGAUUUUUCUCGCGAAAGCUGUUAAUGCUGAAAAUUAAAUACGAAAAUUAAAUAAGUGCAAAAACAACAUAAAUUAUGAAAACACAUUAAAACAUAAAAAUAAUCAAAGCAAACCGAAGAAAUGCUUAAGUACAAGCAUGGAAGAACGUGCAUCCAAAAUGUACUGAUCAAAUUAUUUCCUUAAACACCUAAAUUUCUAUUAAUUGAGGUCAACUGAGUUUCUAUGUGCUCUAAAAGUUGCCAAUUGGGAUAAAUAGAGCAAAUAGUGAGUCCAUGCUGACUUAAUUAAUAUUAUUUGGACCUGACCUUUUAUUAAUUGGGACAUUUUGGUAACACUAAUAAUGGGUCACUAGCUCCGGUAGAACAAAUAUUAUAAGUUUGGUGCCACUUGGGAUAUUUGUUGCUACUAGAAACCACUUACUAACCACAUGUUUCUAUUAGCCACUUGCAUUUGGUCUUUGAAUCACUCAUCACCACAUGUUUCUACCUACCAUAAGCCACUUCAUUUGUUCUAUGUAUCAGAAAGUAUAGAAAGAUAGAGGAAUCUCAAGAGAAGAAGGGAAAGCAAGGCUAGUGGAGAAGAAGAAGAAGAAGAAGAAGAAGAAGAAGAAGAAGAAGAAGAAGAAGGAAAACUUGGAACCAACACCAUCAUCUUCAUCCUCAUCUUAUCUUCAACAACUUCUCCUCUUCAAUUUCUUGAGGUGGGUUCUAGUUAGAAACUCUAGGUUUCUAGAAAAGUUAGGGUUGUAGAAUGUUAGACAAAUCAUGAUAAUCCAUGCUAUAUAAUGAAUAUGUUCUUGCUCUUGUUGACUUCCAUGAACAUGUGCUUUGUUGUGUUCUUAUAUUGGUUAUGAUAACAUGAUUUGUUAUGGUUGUGGUGGAAUAAUUAGUUGUGAUUAUGACCUUGAAAAUCCUUGUGAUUGUGAGCUUGAAAUCUUUGAUUUAUAUAUGUAUGAGAACAUUUAAUAUGAUGGGUUGUUGUUGGAAGAAGUAGUGGUAAUUUGUAGAAAUGGUAUAACAGAGGAAAAUGGUAUCUGUGAAGUGAAAGGAGAAAAUGUGAGUGGAUCAAUCGAUUGGCCUCUGUCAACCAAUCGAUUGACAGCCUUUGGUUUAGCAGAAAAAUGAAAUUUGUACAGGACCAAUUGAUUGACACUGCAUGUCAAUCGAUUGCACAAACUUGCUGUAUAUGAACAAUGGAAAUUUUUAACAGGACCAAUCGAUUGACACACAACAAAUUUUGAAAAAACAGAAAUGUGAGAGGAAUCAAUCAAUUGGGCUUCCCCAACCAAUCGAUUGACUCAAGUUAAAAACUUCAAAAUCCAUUUCUUAAGUGUUUUUAAAUGCAUUCUUCCAACCAUUAAUCAAUUGUGAUGCCAUGCUUAAGUUGAAUACAUGUUAAUAGUGAGAAUUACAUGAUGAAUAUAAUAACUUAACCUAGGAUUGGUAUUAGGUCUUGAGUGAGGUUUAUGACUUAGAUAACAUUGAAUGACAGUAUUCAUUCGUAUGGCGCUUAUGUGGAGGUCGUGUACGAAUUGUUGCCAUGAUUGAGAAUGAGACAUGUUGUAUGGAACAUGCUAUGUUAUAUUUAUGUAUUAUGGUGAAUGAAGUCACCUGUGUUUGAUGAAUUUUGUUAUGGUUCAUGGAACCGAUGAUUGUAGAACCGAUCAUGUAUUUAGAAUGUGUAUUUUUUGUGACGGUGCAAUCUCUAUUGGUAUGCUUAGACGUGUAAGCAUUGGGAUGUGGGACCAAUGAUUCGAGCCUCAAUUGGGUUUGAGCCCCAUCCAUGGCGGACAUGGGGGAAAGGUGGACACCUAGGUGGGUUGGAGUCCCAUACGGUGAAAGAUACCCUAGAUGGGUUAGAGUCCCAUAGGGUGACGGUCACUUGAACUAGGGACUAAGCCUCAUAGAGGACCCGAUAUCCACCGCGAAAGUUGAAUCAUACGAGCAUGCAUGAAUCGGGCCUGGCUUAGACGUAAGUCCGUUCGGGAAUUGAUGCGUCGUAAUCUAAAUAAUAAUCGUGGUUGAGUUAUGAGAACUCAGAUGCAUGUUGCCAUACAAUUGUGAGUUAGUUCCCCAUCGCUCAAGUCUUCUUUCCCUUGUUGACUUGAGUUGGAUAUGAGUUGAAUAUUGAUUCGAAAACCCUGUAGAGCCGAGUAGACCCAUAAGAUAGUGAACCCACUGAGAUUAUUAUCUCACCCAAUGUUGUUGAUUAUUUUUUUCAGGUGGUUCUGAGCAGGAUAAGGGUAAGGGCAAGAUAGAGUGAUGUCUUGCUUACCUGAGGACUGAUGGCUUUUCUUCGGCUGAGUAGACAUUUUUGAGAUCAUUGUCUAAUGAUCUAGAUCAGUAGUUUAAUUUGGGCACUCUUAUGUACAUUUAUGCCAUAUUGUGUUAUUUUGAGCAUGUAUUUGUAUAUGUAUAUUGUGCUGCUAGGCACUUAUGUAUUUUAGUACCAAUAUUACGUUAUGUAUAAUAUGUAUUCUAGACAUAUAUUAUAUGUGGGUGUUACAAAAUUGAUACUACUUUUCGACAAAUUAAAUUCGUAUUGAUCUCCAUGGUCGUAACUGGCCACUUCAAUUUUUGACAAUAAACUCCUUAUCACAUGAAACUUAUCAUAUUUUUAUAAUUAAUGCUCGAAAAUGUGAGGUAACAGCGUCACAUUUUACUUUUUUUUCAAAUAUCAUAUAUUCCCUCAAUUGAGCUAGAAAACAAGGGGUAAAGUAGCGUAUUUUUUAAUAAAUUAUUUAUGACCAAUUUGAUGGAAAAAAAUCAAAUAACGAAUCAAUAUCGUGCAUUUAUAAAGUAACAAUGGUCAAGACAUUGUCAAAUUAUCAAUCCACAUGAAACAUUGGUGAUAUGCGUGAAACUCUGACUAGCCAAUUAAAACGUGAAUCCCACAAUUAUCCAUCUUAGAUGCAAAGUUCUGAAAAAUAAACUUAAGAUGUUGAAAAUAAUGAUAAUGAAAGCAUGAGUAUACAAAUAUUUCAAGGUUGGUUUCUUAAUGUAAUCUUUUCUCGAGUAAUUCCUUGUUAAAAAUGUUUAAUGUUAGUUAAGAAAGCAUGAAAUGAACUUACUAAUCUUAGUUGUAGUUGUAUCAAGUAAAAUGUUUAAUAUUGUUGGUAUCGGUGUUGAAAUUUAGUAGUUAACGAUUCUAAAAUGUUUAAUAUUGUUGUUGUUGUUGAAAUAUAGUAGUUAACGAUUCUAUUGAUUUUGUCUGUUUUUUUUGUUUUUUUUUGUUUUUGAGAUUUAAUGUUUAAAUAUUCCACAAACUUUGUUGUUUUUGUUGUUUUUGUUGUUGAGAUUUAAUAUUUAAAGUUUCUAUUGAUUUUGUGUUUGUUGUUAUUAUUGGUUUUCUUGUUGAUGAUGAGGACGAUUUAGAAUUUGCCAACAAAUUUGAUGCUUUGCAGAUUAAAAUGAAAAAAAAAUCAACUUAAAACUAAAAUUUUGUAAACAGGACCUUACCCCUCGGUUAUUGUUAAAAAUCGAGGUAAAAAGUAGCAUUGUUUUUAAAAUCCAAAAAAUAUAGUUGUAAUGGAUCAAACCUGUUACCAGUGCCACUUUUCUCUUCGGUUAUUAAAAACCUGAUGGAUAAAGUGGCAGGUUUUCAUGUCGCUUUUCGUUACCUUAUAUGUGUAGUCGAGGUUAUAUACCCUUCGCGACCGAGAUGAAUGUGGUUAUUUGUAGUAGGGAUGUGUGGGAGAGUACCAAUUUUUUCCUUCUAUUGGCACAGUUUUAACAUGUAGCCCAUAAUAAAUCGUAGCUCAAAUUUGAGUAUAAACUAGAUAAGAACCUGCGUGAUGCGCGGUUGUGAAAUAAUUUUUAUUUGAUUAAUAUUGAAUUUAAAUUAUAUAUAUAUAUAUAUAAUAGUAUAUAUAAUAUAUAUAUAAUAUAUAAUAUUAUUAAAUAUUGUUAAAGAUUUAUAUUAUAACAUCUUAAUGAAUUAUAAUAUAGACAACAAUACAAAUUAAUCAACAAUAAAAAUGAAUAUUUUACUUGAAAGAAAAUAUUAUGUUUGUAAUUUGACAGUUAUAUCUAGAAUUUAAUUUUGCAAAUUUUAAUAAUUCUAAAAGAUACUACUUGUGAUCAUUUUUAUAUUUUGAUUCUCAUUUCUCUCCGACACUCAUAUGUGAGAAAUCAAUAAUGUUAUUCAAAAUAAUCUAACAACCCAUUUUCAAUACUUGUGAAAGAUAUGGUAAAGAGUUAUAUUAUAAUAUCUUAUUGUGAAUUAUAAUAUAGACAACAAUAUGAAUUAAUCAACAAUAAAAAUAACAUUUUACUUGAAAGAAAAAUAUAUGUUUGUAAGUUGACACUUAUAUCUAGAAUUAAUUUUGCAAAUUUAAUACCUCUAAAAUAAUACUUGUGAUCAUUUUUUAUAUUUGCUUUUCAUGUCUCUCUAACACUCAUAUGUGAGAAAUCAAUAAUUUUAUUCUUUAUCAAUACUUUAUUUGUUUGUUGUAAUAUGAAUAAUGUAAUAGUGAUGUUUAUCAAUAAGAUUGAAAAGUGUUGCAUGCUCUAUCAUAUUUCAAUAUCAAAAAAUAGUGGCAAAUCUUUGAAAUUUGUGUAAUACCUAAUUUGACAUUAAAGAUAUUUAUUUUAACUUUUAUUUGCUAUGAUUUCAAGAAAAUCAAAAAUAUUUAAUAGUUUUUGGAUUCUCUUUUAUUGUUAAAAUUUGAGCAGAUAUACUUAGUUGAAGUAAUUUGUCACACCCACAUAUAAUAUAUGUCUAGAAUCAUAUUAUACAUAGUGUAAAACUGGUACUGAAAUACAUAAGCGCCUAGCAGCACAAUGUACAUAUACAUACAUGCCCAAAGGAAACAUAACAUGGCACAAAAUGUACACAAAAAUGCCCAAAAUAAAACUACUAGGAGCUAGAUCAUUAAACAAUGAUCCCAUCAAUAUCUACACAAUGGAAAAUCCAUCAAGUCGUCAGGUAAGCAAGACAUCACUCUAUCUUGCCCUUACCCUUCACCUGCUCAGAACCACCUGAAAAAAAUAAUCAACAACAUGGGGUGAGGUAAUAAUCUUAGUGGGUUCCCUAUCUUAUGGGUCCACUCGGUUCUACAGGGUUUUCUAAUCAAUAUACAACUCAAUUCAACAAGGGAAGGAAAACUUAAGCAAAGGGGAAACUAACUCGCAAUGUAUGGCAACAUGCACCUGAGUUCUCACAACUCAACCACAAUCAUUAUUCAGAUCACGAAACAUCAAUUAUCGAACGGACUUACGUCUAAGCCAGGCUCGGUUCAUGCAUGUUCGUAUGAUUCGACUUUCGCGGUGGAUAUCUGGUCUCUAUGAGGCUUAAUCCCCAUUUCAAGCGACCGUCACCCGUAUGGGAAUAUAACCCACUUAGGGUCUCUUUCACCGUAUGGGAAUCUAACCCACUUAGGUGUCCACCUUUCCCCCAUGCUCAUCGUGAUUGGGACUCAAACCCAAUUGAGGCUCGAAUCAUCAGUCUCACAUCCCAAUGCUUACUCAUCUAAGCAUGCCAAAUAGAAAUGUGCACCAUCACAGAAAACACACAUUCUGAAUACAUGAUCGGUUCCACAAACCAUCAGUUCUACAAAUCAUAACAAGAUCCAUCGAUCACAGGUGACUUCAUUCACCAUAAUACAUAAACAAUAACAUGGCAUGUUCCAUACAAUGCGUCUCAUUCUCAAUCAUGGCAACCAUUCGUCCACGACCUCCACAUAAGCGGCGUACGAAUGAAUACCGUCAUCCAAUGUUACCUAAGUUAUAAACCUAAUUCAUGGCCUAAUACCAAUCCUAGGUUAACUUACUAGAUUCAUCAUGUAAUUCUCACCAUUAGCAUGUAUUCAACACAAGCAUAGCAUCACAUUUGAUUAAUGGUUAGAAGAAUGCACUUAGAAACACUUAAGGAAUGGAUUUUGAAGUUGUUAACAUAAGUCAAUCGAUUGGUUGGGGAGGCCCAAUCGAUUGGUUCCUCUCACAUUUCUGUUUUUCAAAAUUUGCAAGGGAUCAAUCGAUUAAUCCUCAGUGUCAAUUGAUUGGCUCACUAAAAUUUUCCAUUGUUCAUAAACAGAAAGUUUGUGCAAUCGAUUGUAAUACACUGUCAAUCGAUUGGUCCUGCUAAAAUCACAUUUUCUACAAAACAAAAGGGUUGUGCAAUCAAUUGAUGACAGGGACCAAUCGAUUGGUCCACACACAUUUCACUUUUCCAUUUCACAGAACACCACUUCCUUUAUUAAACCAUUUCCAACAAAAUACCACUCCUUCUUGCAACAAACCCAACACACUACAUGCUCAUAUACACAUAUAUAACAAGGAUUUCAAGUUUAUAAUCACAAAUAUUUCAAGGUCAUAACCACAACCAAUCAUUUAACCACAUCCAAAACAAAUCAUGUAAUCACAACAAUCAUAAGAACACAUUAAGCACAUGUUCAUGGAAAUCAACAAGAGCAAGAGAGAUAUUCAUCAUAUAGUAUAGAUUUUCAUGAUUUAACUAUGAUUCUACAACUCUAAUCUUCUAGAAAUCCUAGGGUUUCUAACUAGAACCCACCUCAAGAAAUAGAAGAGGAGAAGUUGUUGAAGAUGAUAUAAUGAUGAUGGUGAUGAUGUUGGUUCCAAGCUCUUCUUUUUCUUCUUCUCCACUAGUUUGUUUUCUCUUCUUCUCUUGAGAUUCUUCUUUUCUCCACUAUCCUUUCUGAUACAUAGAGAAACCAAAUGGCAUGUGGUAGGUGGUAUAUGAUAAUAACAUGUGGUGGUGAGUGAGUCAAAGAGUAUUAGCAAGUGGCCAUGAGAAAUGUGUGGUAAGAAAAUGGUCACUAGUAGCAACAAAUAUCUCAAGUGGCACUAAACUGGUAAUAUUUGUUCUACCAGAGCUAUUGACCCAUUAUUAGUGUUACCAAAAUGUCCCAAAUAAUAAAAGGUCAGUCCCAAUUAAUAUUAAUUAAGUCAACCCGAACUCACUAUUUACUCUAUUUAUCCCAAUUGAUAACUUUUAGAGCACAUAGGAACUCAAUUGAUCUCAAUCAAUAGGAAUUUGGGUAUUUAAGGAAACACGAGAUAUUACAUCCUCCCCCCUUAAAUAAAAAUUUGUCCUUGAAUUUAAAUAUUACCUAGAAGAGAUGAGGGUAAGCUUCUCGCAUUCCUGAUUCCAGUUCCCAUGUAGCAUCGCCCGGAUGUGAUCCAUCCCACUGAACCUUAACAAGAGGAAUCUCCUUAUUCCUUAAUACCUUAACUUCCCGUCCUGCAAUACGACUUGGUAGAGGUUCGAAAGUCGUAUCUGCUUCUACUUCUAUUGAAUCUGGAAGAAUAGGAUGAAGAGAAUCUAGAAUGAACUUUCGAAGUUGAGAUACGUGAAAAACAUCAUGCAUUUUUGAUAGAGAAGGUGGUAAAGCUAAUGUGCAGUCUACUUCUCCAAUCCUCUCUAUAAUCUGGUAUGGCCCUAUGUAUCUUGGACUUAGCUUUCGUGACUUAAACGGUCCUUUCAGUCUCAACCUCGGAGUCACCUUCAAAAAUACAUGAUCACCUUCAUCAAACUCCAAUGGUCUUCUUCUGUGAUCCGCAUAGCUCUUUUGGCGAUCUUGUGCUUUCUUUAUCUUAUCACGGACCAUCCUUAUCUUUUCCGUAGUCUCUUGAAUAAUCUUCAGUCCUAAGAUCCUUUCUUCACCAACUUCCCUCGAACAUAGAGGUGUUCUACAUUUCCGUCCAUACAAGGCUUCAUAAGGAGCCAUUCCAAUACUUGCAUGAUAACUAUUGAUAUAUGUGAAUUUAAUCAGUGGUAAAAGCUCCUUCCAAUUCCCUCCACUUUCAAGUACACAAGCUAUUAACAUAUCUUCCAGUGUCUGUAUCGUCCAUCCAAUCUGACCAUCCGUUUGGGGAUGAUUGGACACACUCAAACACAAUCUCGAUCCCAUAGCUUGCUGGAAUGCCUUCCAAAAUAUUGAAGUAAACUUUGGGUCUCUAUCGGACACAAUACUAAUUGGAACACCAUGCAACCUAAUAAUUUCUGAAAUGAACAACCGUGCAAGAUGGCUUGCCUUACAAGUAGUCUUCACGGCCAAGAAGUGCGUGGACUUAGUUAACCGGUCCACAAUCACACAAAUUGAAUCAUAACCAACUUGGGUCCGAGGUAACCCUACUGCAAAAUCCAUUGAAAUACUACCCCAUUUCCAACCGGAAUCUCUAAAGGUUGCAAUAAACCACCUGGCUUCUGAUGUUCGAUCUUUACCUGCUAGCAUACAAUGCAUUCCGACACAUACUCUACAAUAUCCAUUUUCAUUCCAGGCCACCAAUAGUCCUUCUUCAAGUCUUGAUACAUCUUCGAUGAACCUGGAUGUAUAGUAAAUGCCCCUUUGUGAGCUUCCUCUAAAACUUUUCUUUUCAUCUUGGCAUCAUUCGGAACACAAAUCCUUUGAUUAAACAGAAUGACUCCAUCCGGUGACUGGGCGAAACCUGGUUGAGUCGACAUCUCUUGCAACUUCUCAUCUAUCAUUUGUCCUUGUCAGAUCUCUUCCCUUAGGUUAGAAGUAACAUUCAAAUUUCCCAUUAUCACACCAUCCUGCGUCCAACUAAACUGAAUAUUAAGAUCUCAGAACUUUUCCAAUAAUGCAUAUUCUAACAUCAUCAACUCAACUUUAUGCAUCUCUUUCCGACUUAAGGCAUUUGCAACCUUAUUCUCCUUACCCGAGUGAUACUUAAGCUCAAAAUCAAAGUCCUUCAAAUACUUCAUCCAUCUCCUCUGUCUCAUGUUUAACUCUUUCUGGUCAAAUAAGUAUUUCAAACUCUUUUGAUCACUAAACAUCUCAAAAUGCACCCCAUACAAGUAAUGUCGCCACACCUUCAAUGCAAAAAUAAUAGCAGCUAGUUCAUGAUCAUGAGUCAGAUAGUUCUCUUCAUGAGGCUUCAACUGACGAGAGGCAUGUGCUACAACAUGACCACUCUGCAUUAACACCCCUUCUAAUCCUUUCUUAGAGGCAUCACAAAAUACUUCAUAAGACUUACUAGGAUCAGGGAUGACUAAAACAUGAGCUGUCGUUAGCCUUUCCUUCAAACUCAUGAAAUUCUUCUCAUACUUCAAAUCCCACUUGAAAGAAAUUUCCUUCCGGGUAAGUCUAGUCAUUGGUAAUGCUAUCUGCGAAAACCCCUUUAUAAACCUUCGAUAGUAACCUACCAAACCUAAGAAACUUCUGACUUAGGAAGCAUUCUUCGGUCUUUCCCAAUUAAUAAUUGCUUCAACUUUUGAUGGAUCCACUGAUACUUCUCCUUUUGAUAUUACAUGACCAAGAAACUUCACUUAGUUCAUCCAAAAUUUACACUUACUUAACUUGGAAAAAAGUUGUUUCUCUUGCAAUACAGAUAGAAAAAUCCUUAUGUGUCCUCUGUGCUCUUGGGGAGUACGUGAAUAAAUAAGAAUGUCAUCAAUAAAGAUCACCACGAACUGGUCCAACUAAGGUUGGAAUAUCCGAUUCAUAUAGUCCAUGAAAACAGCAGGGGCAUUCAUUACACCAAAUGACAUUACAAGGAACUCAUAAUGGCCUUAUCGGGUUCUAAAUGCGGUCUUUGGUACAUCCGAACUCUUAACUCGUAUUUGAUGAUAACCCGAUCGCAAAUCAAUCUUCGAGAACACAUAAGAUCCUUUCAACUGAUCUAACAAAUCAUUUAUCCUUGGCAGAGGUGUCGCAGCCUGAAAAAGGAGAUGCGAAAAAACAACCGGCGAGAAAGAAAUGACAGAAGAGUCGCCACCGUGUGUUAUUUAUCCUAAAGGAGGGAAAGGAAACGCUCGAAGUAAACCUGGAAAAAGGAAAGGAAAAGACAAGGUCUCGCAACCAAAUCUUGGGUUCGGGAGCCGAUUAUGCGAAGGGAAGGUAUUAGCACCCAUACGCAUCCGUAGUACUCUACGGGAUCCACUCUUGUUAUUCUUGUCUAAAGGGUGUGUGUAUAUCUAAUGUACUAUUUACUAAAAGAGGGGUCAAAAGAAAAUGACUCGCACGGAUGUCGCAUCCACUGCAUACGUAUCUCAUCUGAACACGAGAAUCAGAGUCUUUGUAGCUCGGCUACCUAUGGGUUAAAGAGGAGUGUGCUCGCUAAGACAUCGCGUCUUAUGCCUACGUAUCUCAUCUGGAAUGAGAAUCAGAGCAAGCUGUAGUUC